This 83347-nucleotide long non-coding RNA is filed under the name Physcomitrium patens. Its description in RNAcentral is "long non-coding RNA (PPAT_LNC012034)". The stretch from base 63396 to 63466 matches the Rfam family "tRNA". The record is from RNAcentral. Lineage: Eukaryota; Viridiplantae; Streptophyta; Bryopsida; Funariales; Funariaceae.
AUUAGGGUUUGAUUAGGAUUUGAUUUAAGGUUUGGUUUAGGAUUUAGGAUUUGGACUAGAGUUUAGGAUUAGAUUAGGGUUUGGAUUAGGUUUUGGAUUAGGAUUUAGGGUUUGGAUUAGAGUUUGGACUAGGGUUUGGUUAGAGUUUGAUUUAAGGUUUGGUUUAGGGUUUAGGAUUUUGAUUAGAGUUUAGGGUUGGAUUAGGGUUUGGAUUAGGAUUUGGAUUAGGAUUUAGGAUUUGCUUAGGGUUUGAUUUAAGAUCUGGAUUAGGGUUUGGUUAGAAUUUGAUUUAAGGUUUGAUUUAGGGUUUAGGGUUGGAUUAGUGUUUGGUUUAGAGUUAUGGGUUUGGAAUAGGGUUUAAAUUAAGAUUUGUUUAGGAUUUGACUUAGGGUUUAGGAAUUUUUAGGAUUUAAGAUUUAAUUAGGUUUAGUCUAAAGUUGAGUGAAAUUCAAUAGGAUUUUAACUAGAAUUAAAUUAAGGUUGUAUUGACAUAUAUUUGAAUAAAAUUUGUGAUCAUUCUAAUAUUUCUUUAAGAAUUUAAUUAUUUUUUUGAAAUUUCUUAGAGUUGUUUUGAAUUUGAUUACGUUUGUUUACUAUUAUUGUAGUCUAAUUAGAACAUUGUUAGUAUUCUAUUUAGGAUUUUGUUAUCGCAAUUUCUAUUCUUCCUUCUAUAGCCAAGUGUCCAGAGCAUUCUCAAGCAAGACUUCACACAUUACGACAUCAUCAUUCAAGAAAAGAUAAAAACUACAAUAAGGCUGAACUUGAAAGAAGUGUACCAAUGAAUCUAACUUGCAUUCCUCGAGUUGGAUAGCUUCAAAGUUGAAGUUCAAUCACAAGUUGCACUUGAUUGAUAAAUCCUCAAAACUUGGAUCUGGUGCCAUCAAACUUCUCGGGUAGGGUAAUUCUUGGUUCUCUAACACUAGAAGGGCGUUCCACCAUAGGAGAAAAGACAUGGUUUGGUACAGAUAUUGAAGCAGCUCCAACCAUAUCUAUAUCUUCACUUCUUGCAAUUCUUGUUGCUCCUUGUGGUGGUAAAUUGAGUUGAUGCAUUGCAAGCAUUAACUCCCUCAAUUACUCUAGCAUUUGUGCCAUUGCAUUCUUCAUUUCAACAAGUUCUGUCAUAAUAACACUUAAAAAAGAGAAGAUAUCUAAUAUCGCUCAAGACAAAUAGAAGAGAGGACUUGAGAACAAAGAAAAUACUAAGCACAACAUCAGUUUAGAAGAGGGUAAUCCACAACUUCUAAUAUGCUUAUAUCUUAUCAAGAAAAAGGAGUAAUCCACUCUUCAUCAAGAUUAGACAAAGCUCUGAUAUUGUAGGUGUACUCUUAUCAAUCUGUCAAGGAUAAGAACUCGAUGAAAAAACAAUCCACACAACUGAGCCAUCAUUCAAAAAAGAUGAAAAAAUAUAAAUAAAUAAGUAUGUAUAUUGAAAGAGAAACUAGAAUGGCUAUUACUAAAAGACAAGAAAACUAAAGACCCUUGAAACUAGACUAGAAGCAAGAAAGGAGUUGACAAGAGUGAAGAAGGCUUCACUCUUGUCUCUAUAUAUACUAUCUAAUUAGAGGCUAUGUGGCGACAUUCUAUAGGACCUCCAAUAUGUGUUGACUUUGUAGGACACAUGCCUUGACUUACAUGGCAAGUUUUUCUACGUGUGGGCCACAUAGUUAGCUUAAUCUUCAAGCUAACAAAAUGUGUGGUAUAUGGCCAACUUGUUGACCACGUUUCUAAUCCAAAAAGUCAAUAAAAGACAUCUAUAAAGUCAAAGCAGUGUCUAAAGAGCUUCUAGGAAGCUUCCAUAUUAAAUACUAUAGAAUUAACUUACUCUUACCUACUUUUACUUACUUCUACCUAUUUGUAUAAGUAAUUAUUAAAUUACAUGAGAAUGUCCGUGACACUUUGUUAGACUUAAGAGCCUCAAACUAUUUUAUAAACAAAGAUUUUAUUAAAAAAUAAGAAAUAUCAUUAGUUAAAAGAACUAAUCUUAUACAUAUAGAAAGUGAUAGAUGAUUGUUUGCUAUUUUUUGGAGAUGUUAUAUAUGACACUCUUUCAUUAGAUGUACCAAUUAAAGAUCAUAAUAGCAUAGUAAUAUUUAAUAUAAUAAGAGCUUUGUUUAAUUUGAUUAUUUUAGGAUUAUCUUGGUUAGAAUAAUAUAAUCCUCAAAUAGAUUAGACUUUUUGUAACCUUAAUUUUUUUGAUAGUUUAAUCUAAAAUUCCAUUAGUUAAGUAAAAAUACAUAAGUUUAAUAGAACCAAAUCUUUAUUAAUAGGUGCCAGAGCUUUUACACAUGUUGCAAAAAAAAGGAAUUUCUUUUGUUUUAUAUACCAUGCCUAUUUUUGAUAGUGAGAAGACAUGAAGUAAUAUCCCUAGCCAAUAUCAACAUUUCUAAGAUAUUUCUUUAAAAAAUAAUGUAGAUAUUCUUCCAGAGCAUUGUCCUUAUGAUUGUUCCAUCAAUCAAAACCAAGUUAAAGAAUAGCAAAUCUUUGCUAUAAAAGAGACAAGAUCAAAGAAAGAUAAUACUCUACCUUCUAUCCCUCUUUGUAGCUUCUAUGUAUUUGUGAUACUAAAGAAACGGAAAACCAAUAGCCAAUAGAUUCAACUCAAGAGCUUUUAUUUGCGGACUUAUCAAACAAGACAUUGCAAUUGUCACAAUCUUCUAGACGACAAAAUUGAAAUGAAGAUCUUCAAGAAUGAUAUAUCCUUCCUCAAAUAGAUGGUGAGAUAUAACGUAUUUGGUAUCACAACCUUGAAAGAGACUCUUGAUGUUUGGUGAUUUUAUUAGAGGUAGGAACAACUCUUGACAGUGUUCCAAAUGUUGUAUUUGAAGGAAGUUACAAAGGCCUCAGUAACAACCAAAUAAGAGGGUGGUCUUCUCAUCAUAGUAUAGGAUACUAUGGAUGGUUGAAAAGACCUAUCAACCAUCUUCAAAGAGAACAAAGAUCAGAGUAUGGAGCAAAUAUAAUUCACCGCAUCUUGGAUUUUUUCAACAUAUGAAGAUCGCUUUUCAUAGAACUUGUUCCUACAAUGCGAGUAAUGUCACGGAUAUACAUAUGUAUUCUAAUAAAUACUUAUAUGAUUGAGAGAAGUAGGUAAAAGUAGAUAAAAAUGGAUUAAUUUCAUAAUAUCUUCUAAAGAAGCUUCUUAAAAGCUUUAUAGAUGUUGCUUUGAUUUAAUAUGUAUUUUGUAGUUGAUUGAUAGGCUAAAAACUUGGUCAAUAAGUUAACCACAUGUUAAUAGCUUGCGGAGCAAACUAAUUAUGUGGCGCACAUAUAAAAAACCUGCCUUACAAGUUAAGAUACGUGUCUUGCAAAGUUAACAUGUUUUGGAGGUCUUACAGGACAUCGCUAUGUAGCUCCUAGUUAAGAGUAUAUAUGGAGGUAAGAGUGAAGCCUUCAUCACUCUUGUCAACAUCUUUCUAGUCCUUAGUCUUGUUUCAAGACUUUCUAAUGUCCUUGUUUUUGACAAUUGUCAUUCUAGUUCAAUAAUAUAUCAUCUUUGAGUGGCUUUUUAGUUCUUUUCAAUGUCGCAAGAGUGUAUUGAGGAUUUCUUUCUUUGAGAUUCAUGUCCUUGAUACCUAACUAUUCUUAUCUAGAUAAUUAAAUAUGUCUAUGAACCUUUGCUUUGUUUCUUAUUCUUCUAUACUUAUAAAGAAUAAUUUUGGUUAUCCUAAUAAAUUGGUUAUACAAGCCUAAUUUUAUAUAUUAUUUUAAUAUAUGUAUUUGAUUUAUUUAUUUUUUAAAAAAAUAGCUAAUAGAAAUAAUCUAAUUUAUACUUUUUGAAGUCACAAAUUUAUCAUGUAUCUUGUAUUUUAAUGGAUGAAACCUUCUUUGAUAUUGAUUUUUUAUUUUUAUUUUAAUUUUUAAUUUUUAAUUUUGUUUUAAAGUAUCUUGUCAUGAAUGUAAUGAUGUCUCAACUAAUAAAAUGGAUUGCCAAUUGUUAAAGGUAUUUCCCUCUCUAAUUUUGCAAAUAAGUAAAAUAUUUCUAUUUAUAGGAGUAUUUAAUUUUAUACUAUUGGUUGCCACAUUAUUAUUAAAAAGAUUUAUGGAAAAGCAAUAGAAAAUUAUAUUUGCAAGAAUUUAAUAAAAUUUUAUAUUACGUCAAGAAUACAAAUUCAACAAAUCUAAUACUACGACAUCAACAUCAAUUCUUUCAACAAUUGUUGAUGAAUAAUAUGAUUAAACCAUUAAACUUUGGACAUGGAAAUUUAAAUAUUAUUUGAUCUACUUUAAUUGCUACAAUUAUUAUGGAGGAAAAACGUAUAUAUUUUAGGAGCAAUUUCAACAUUGUUAUGAUGUUUGAUUCAUGUUGUUCUUAUUGUUGCUUGCAAGUUUGGUCAAACAAGUAUAUUUUUUUACGUUGUUCUUGGAUUUGUUUUAGAACCAAGAUGAUGAAAAUGAGGGGGGUGGAAGAUGUUUGUAAUGUGAGGUGGAUGUGUGGAAGAGUGAAGGGAUAUUAUUGGAGAUAUGAUUGGAGCUUGGGUGAGAAGACGAAGGAAUGGGGUGAGGCGAGAGAAAGUGGUGUGGUGGAAAAGCGGGGUGACGAGAACUUGAUGCGUGCGCGCCGUGGAGGUGGGUGGGCGAGGAGAAAGAAGGAGAUGGAGAAGGAAAAAGGAGAAGGAAAAAGGAGAUGGAAAAGAAGGGCGUGGAUGAACAAAAGCAGUGCACCGGCCGGGAAUCGAACCCGGGUCUGUACCGUGGCAGGGUACUAUUCUACCACUAGACCACCGGUGCUAGCCUGUUAGCUGCGGUCGCCGCCGCGCCGCUGCCGGGGAUCGAACCCGGGUCACCCGCGUGACAGGCGGGAAUACUUACCACUAUACUACAACGACUGCCGAUCAGCGGACGACUCACGGCCCCUCCUGGGACCCGGAUGAGCGAAGCCGUUUUCACACCACACAUACCACAAUGCGGUCUUCUUCUUCUUCUUCUUCUUCUUCUUCCCGCACCGACCCCACCCCCAGGUAGUAAGUAAGUAUCCUCCUCGACUGCCGUGCAGCUACCUCACCACCACGCCGCACCACGCGGCCUCUCCUCACCUCACCUUACCUCCAGGCCACGGCCCCUUUCUUCGUUCAUUCGUUCCCUCGUUCGUUCCUUCGUUCCUUCGUUCCUUCGUUUGUGCGGGCCAUCUCCCACUCCAUGCCGGGCUCCUCCACCAUCUUCGUUUCAUGCAUCCUACUCCUCACCCCCCUUUUAUCUACCAAAUUUUAUUAUGCAAUUUACUUAUUUUUUUUAAAUUUUUUUUAUUGAUAUUUUUCAACAUCAAGGAUUGUUUUUGAAUUCUUUAAACCCUUACCACUACUAAUAAAAUACAUUUUUUUUUAAAUUAUUAUUUUCGGUUUUUUAUUUUCAUGACAUGGUAUUCAUCAUUUUUUUUUAAUAUUGGAUUAAAUAAUAUAGAAGAAUAAUUCUAUAUUAUAGGUGUAGUCUUUUUUCUUUAUUAUAGAACUAAAUUAUAAAAUUUUAUAAUGUACAUGUUACAAAUUUAUCCAAAACAAUAUUUAAGUAAUUACAAUUGCUUUAAGAAGGUCAACUUGAAUUUUACAAUAUCAAAGUUUAGAAACAAAAAUUACAAUGGCGUCUUGUGACUUCUACAAAUAUAUGUAAUAAUACAACCAUUAUUUGGUGUAUGAUCUAUUUUAUUUGCAAUAUAUUUUCUAUCAAUUAAACUAAAAACUUUAAGAUGUGUAAUUUUAAAUACAAAAAUAAUGCUUUUAUUUUUCAUAAAAUAAUUUUUAUUACAUUUUUUGUACCUAUGCAUAGAAUAAAUACAUUUGAUAUACAUGGAUUGCAAAAUGGUAUUAAACUAUAAAUUUUUGUAUCAUAAGUUUUACAAAAUUUGAGAAGUUUUAUAAAUUCUAUUUUUAAAUAAUUUUCUAAAAUUUUAGUUGACAUGCUUUUAAAAGUAAAAUUUCUAUUUUAAUUUAUAAAACUUUAGAAUACAAUUAGCAUUCAUAUUUUAUAUUUUUAUACAUAGGAUUCUUUUUUUUUUCUUUAUUUUGGAACCCUUUGUAAGUAUGAUUAUGACAUUAAUUUAAAUAUUCUAGUUAUUUUUUGAUUGAUGGUGUUUUCAUUUAUUAUCUACAACACAAAACAAAACUAAACAUUGUAUUAAAGGAUUUAGCUUGUAUUAGAAGAAUCUUCUAUAUAUUGCACUAAACUGUUAUUAAAUUGAGAUAGAUUCAAAAAACCAAAAAAAGAAUUCUAGUUCAACAUUAAAUUUUAGAGAAUCAAUUUCUCUAAUACUAAAUAAGAUUGUAGAAUUGGACUUUUGUACAACAUCAUUUUAUAAAGGCCAUAUAUUUUUUUGGCCAACUAUGUCCACCAUAAUAGAACCAAUUCCAAUAGCUUUACAUAUAUUAGUAUCCUCCAAAAUUGCAUUUGAUGCUGAAAUAGCCUCAUAAGUGUCAAAUGAAUACUUAUAAGUGUCAAGGACAAGAACUGGAUGAAAAAGUAAUUCAGACAAGUGAACCCUCACUCAAAGAAAGAUAACAAAAUAUAAAUAAAUAAGUAUGUAUAUUGAAAGAGAAACUGGAAUGGCUAAUGCCAAAAGACAAGAAAACUAGAGACUCUUGAAACUAGACUAGAAGCAAGAAAGGAGUUGACAAGAGUGAAGAAGCCUUCCCUCUUGUCUCUAUAUAUACUAUCUAACUAGGGGCUACGUGGCGAUGUUCUAUAGGACCUCCUAUAUGUGUUGACUUUGUAGGACACAUUCCUUGACUUACAAGGCAAGUUUUUCUAUGUGUGGGCCUUAUAGUUAGCUUGAUCUUCAAGCUAACAACAUGUGUGGCACAUGGCCAACUUGUUGACCACGUUUCUAAUCCAAAAAGUCAAUUAAAGACACCUAUGAAGUCAAAGCAACAUCUAAGAAGUUUCUAGGAAGCUUCCAUAUUAAAUAUUAUAGAAUUAAUUUACUUUUAUCUACUUUUACUUACUUCUACCUAUUUCUAUAUGUAAUUAUUAGCUUACAUGAUUAUGGCCGUGACAUUACUCCCCCCUUCUAGGGACGAGUUCCAUGAGGAGCGGUCAUCAUAUGUUGAGAAAAUCUAUGAUGUGACGAAUUGUAUUCGCCACAUACUCUGAUCUCUGUUCUCUUCGAAGAUGAUUGAUAGGGCCUCUCAAAAAUCGGUAGUGUCCCAUACCAGGGCGGGAAGACCACCAAGUUAUUUGAUCAUUGUUGAGGCCUUCGUAACUUCCUUCGAAUAGAAUAUUUGGAACACCAUCAGGAGUUGUUCCUACUUCUAGCACAAUCACCAAACAUCAGGAGUCCCUUCCCAAAUUGUGAUACCAAACGCGUUGUAUCUCGCCAUCUAUUCGAGGAAGAAAAUGUCGUUCUUGAAGAUCUUCAUCUCGAUUGCGUCGUCUUGAAGGUUGUGACAAUCGUAACGUCUCGUCUGGUAGGUCAGCAAAUGAAGGCUCUUGAGUUGAAUUCGCUGGUUGUUGGUUCUCCAUCUCCUAAGCGCCACUAUUACAACGAAGCUAUGAACAAGAAUUGAAAGUAGAAAGUUAACUUGCCUAGAUGUUGUUUCUUUUAUAAAGAAGGUUUUCAUCUUGAUUUUGAUGGAUGUCGUCGAUGAAAAGCCUCCACCGCCUUUGAUGCAUUUGCAAGAUUCUUUAUUGGCUCCCAUGUGCGUUCACUAAUACCAUAUCCGCACCAAUGGACAAGAUAUUCUAAUCUAUUUCAGCGUCGCCUUGAAUCUAAGACUUUUUCUAUUUCAAACUCUUCAUUAUUGUCCACUUCUAUAGGAGGAGGUGGAGUUUGUCAUCUUCUUGGUAUGUCCACUGUCUUGUAUGGUUUAAGAAGAGACACGUGGAAUACUAGAUGGAUUUUCAUUGACUCCGGUAGAUGUAAAUGAUAUGUAACUGGAUUGAUUUGUGCAGAAAUAGAAAAUGGUCCCAGCCUUCAAUAGUCCAACUUGUCACAAGGACGAGUGGUCUUGAUAAUGCGAUGAAGUAGCCAUACUUUAUCACCCAAGACGAAUGAUGGUUGUUCCUUUCAAUAGACAUCCGCAUUGGCCAUUUGUUGUUCUUGAGCCUCUUUUAACUGCACCUUCAUCGUUGCAUGUAGCUCUCAUAAAUGAAUUGCCAAAUCUUUUGUAGUAGGAUUAUCAACUUUUGAAAAGUCAAAAGUAUCAAGUCGUGGACGAUAACCAUAAUUAGCAAAGAAAGGUGUUUGUUUUGUAGAAGAGUGUACCGUGUUAUUGUAAGCAUACUCUGCCAAUGGCAAAAGAGUUGUCCAAUCAUCUUGUUGGUAAUUAAUGGUACAUCUUAAAUAUUGCUCCAAAACUUGAUUAACACGCUCCAUUUGUCCAUCAGUUUGAGGAUGGAAAGCCGAAGAUAGUUUUAUAUCCACUUUAAGAAUCUUGAAAAGAGUCCGCCAAAAUCUUGAUACAAAUUGAGUUCCCCUAUCUGAUAUAAUAUCCUUGGGUAAUCUACAAUAGUGAUAGAUAUUGUCAAGAAAGAGCUUAGCUGUUUCUUCACUUGUGAUAGAUUUUGUACAUGUUACAAAAUGUGCCAUCUUGGUAAAACGAUCUACUUUCACGAAUAUAGAGUCAAAAAAACCUGAGAUUGGAAGAUCUAUGAUAAAGUCCAUAGAAAUAGAAGACCAUGAUUGUUUUGGAAUGGGUAAUGGCUGAAGAAGUUCAAAAGGUCGUUGACAAGGAGUUUUCGAUCUUGAGCAAAUAUUACAUGAUUGUACAAAAUCUUUAAUUGCCUUCCACAUUUGAGGCCACCAAAACUCCCUAGAUAUCAGUUCUAAAGUCUUAUUAUUUCCAAAAUAUCCUGCUACUGGGGAGUCGUGACGAGCUUGAAGAACAUGUAAACGUGCUUCUCCUUCUUGAAUAUAUAGGCGUUCUUCGUAAUAGAGUAGGUUGUUCUUGAAUUCAAAUUUAGAUGGAUCAUGAGAUUUAGAAGAAUUGUUCUUGAUAUCAUGAACAAGAGGGUUUGAAGACAUACUUAACUAGACUUGCUUAAGAAAAGUUAAAUCAACAGUCAAUGUUGAUUUUAUUGCUCGAAGAAGAAAUUAUUCCGGCUCCAAAAGAACCGUUCUUUAUUGCUCAAAAGCUGCAUCUGCUUCUUUUGGUACAAGAUAAGAACGUCUAGACAAGGCAUCGGACAAACCUUGUUGUUUUCAUGGUCGAUAAGUGAUGAUAAACUCGAAUCUUGAUAAAGACAUGCUCCAACGAGCUUGGCGAAGAUUUAAUACGCGUGUUGACAUAAAAUAUUUGAGAUUCUUGUGAUCCGUAUACACGGUGACUGGACUAGAAGCACCUUCUAGAUAAUGAUGCCAUUCUUGAAAAGAAUCCACAAUUGCAAGAAGUUCUUUGUCGUGGAUCUCAUAAUUGAUUGCUGCUGCUGAGAAUUUUCUUGAAUGAAAGGCUACUGGAUGAAGUUUGUCAUCUGUUCCCAUUUGUGAUAAAAUCGCACCUAGAGCAAAGUCCGAUGCAUUUGUUUCCGUAAAGAAUGCUUUGAAAAAAUUAACACAAUAUAAGAUUGGUGCAUAAACAAACGAUGUCUUCAAAGAUUCAAAAGUAACUUUCGCUUCUUGAUUCCAUUGGAGUUUGUCUUUACAAGUCAAACGUGUAAGUGGAGCUGCAACUCGACAGAAGUCUUUGAUGAAGAUCCGAUAGUAGUUGGCAAAUUCCAAAAAACAUUGGACAUCUCUUAUCGUUUUUGGGAUCUUCCAGUCUAUAAUAGUUUGAACUUUCUUAGGAUCCAUCAUAAGUCCAUCAUUUGAAAUGAUGUAACCAAAGAAAUUGACUUGAGUAGUGUGGAAUAGACACUUUUCUAUCUUGGCAUAGAGUCCUGCAUCUCUUAAUUUUUGUAAUAUAUGACGAAUAUGAAGUUCAUGUUCUUCUGAAUUCUUAGAAUAGAUCAAGAUGUCGUCUAGAUAAUAGACCACAAAAUCGUCCAAAAACUCUCAAAAAGCAUCAUUCAUUAGAUGUUGAAAAGCUGUUGGUGCAUUUGUAAGUCCAAAAGGCAUGACGUUGUAUUCAAAAUGUCCAUACCUAGUUCGAAAUGCAGUCUUCCAUUCAUCUCCUUCUUUGAUGCAUACUAGUUUGUAUGCUCUCCGAAGAUCUAUUUUUGUAUAGAUCUUAGCUUGAUUCAACUGAUCAAGAACUCCAGAUAUUAAAGAUAGUGGAUACCUAUUUUUGAUGGUAAUCUUGUUGAGUCCUCGAUAAUCAACACACAUCUGCAAUGAUCCAUUGUUUUUCUUCACAAAUAGAAUUGGAGCUCCUGGCGGAGAUUUAGAAUGGCGUAUGAAGUUCUUGGCUAGAUUUUCUUCAAUAUACUCCUUGAGUUCAGCCAAUUCAUUUUGUGAUAAAUUGUAGAUUGGUCCGAAUGGCGGUUGUGCUCCUUCUUGAAGGUCAAUUGAGCAAUCAUAGAGACGAUGUUCCGGGAGUGUAUCUGCAUUCUUUAUUUCAAAUACAUCUUGAAAUUCUUGAUAUUGGCUUGGAAUGCCACUUGAAGUCUUUUCACCAGUAGGAACGGAUGUAGCAUAAAUAAUGUAUGGUGAUUCUUUCAUAGCAGCAUGCAAGAAAGCUUUUGCACCUAUAAAUACGGAUUUAAUUGAACUAGACUUAUGACUCUCUACUUGCUUAACUACAUUAUUAGUUAUACUUUUAGAGAAAGUGAGAGUUCGAGAAAUCCAGUCUAUUUGAGGGUUGUAUUUUUUUAACCACGAUAAACCUAAAAUGACUGGAUUAGACGGAGAUCUAAUGAUAUUAAAUACUACAAAACUAUUAUGACCAUUGAUUAUUACUUCUGUAGGAAGGGUUUCGUGAGUAAUAUCUCUAGAAGACAAUAGAUGACCAUCUAUGACUUCUAUAUGAACAGGUUUAGUUUUCUUUACUAAAGAUAUGCUAUAUCUUUUAGUAAAUUCUUCAUCUAAAAAACACACUGAGGCUCCUGAAUCUAACAAGGCAGAGAUUUUGUAAUGUUUAGGUUCUAAAAUAACAUUUAAUGUAAAACAAGGAGAGGGCUCUGAGGAGAGAAUAGGACCUUUAUUAGAUGUUGUGCAAGGUUCCAGCCACACGGUCCCUAUUGUAGCUGGACAAACUCGUUUUCCGACAUAUUAUCUUCUUUCACAGCCAUACUUCUCAUUUUGUGAUUGCAUCAUUUCUGUGGACAAUGUUGAGCAGUGUGCUUUGGUUCUCUAUAAUAUAAACAUAAUCCUUUUUGACGACGACGAGUCUUUUCUUGCUCAGUAAGAGGUUUGAAACGUAGUGCAUCAAUUUGCAUAUCCUGUACUAUUUAAAUCUUAAAUCCUAAAUGAGUUCAAAUAAAAUCCUAAAUCCUAUAUCAAAUCCUGAUCAAAUCCUAAUCAAAUCUUAAAUCCUAAUCAAAUCCUAAAUCUGGAACCAAACCCUAAUCCUAAAUCAAAUCCUAACCAAUUUCUAUCCCUAAUCCUAAAUCCUAAACCAAACUCUAAUCCUAAAUCAAAUCCUAAUCAUAUCUUAAUCUUAAAUCAAAUCCUAAUCAAAUCCUAAUCCUAAUCCUAAAUCCUUAACCAAAUCUUAAUCAAAUCCUAACUCUAAAUCAAACCCUAACCAAAUCCUAAUCCUAAAUCAAAUCCUAACCAAAUCCAAGUAAUUUCUACAACAAAAGUAAACUUCAAGAACUAAUGAAGGAACUGUUAAUCUUUAUUCAAAUUUUUCACACUUCUUAAAAACUACGUUAGAAACAAAUACAAAAUUAUUGAAAAUGAUCGAAAUUACCAAAUAGACGAUAACCUCAAAAAUGAGCUUGGGUAUCGGUUGGCCUCCUUCUCCAACCUUGAUAUCAAUCUCCCAAAGCUAAUAUCUCUUCUUUUCACCAUUCGAUUGAUUUCAAAAUUCUCAUACACAUAGAAAAAUAAGUCUAAUAUCCUCUUACAUAAAUUCUACUCCAAUCCAACUAGUAAAUUGCAAGAAAUCUUUAAAAUCCUCACUAGACCUAGAAUUCUACUUUUUGAGACCUUAAUUCUCUUAAACCUCAAUAAUCCUCAAUUCAACCAUAAGAUCGAGUUAAGAUUCACAACACAUAUUAAGCACAACUAUGACCAUUAAUCCACAAAAUUUCACCCAUAGGUCUAUCACAAAACUCUUGAAAUCACUAGAAACAUCAACCCUAUUUUAUUUCACAAACUCCAAAUCAUCAGAAAACAAUCUUGACUUUGUAAAGUUCUUACAAAGUCAUAAAAAGUCCAAAUUGCCUAAAACCAAUGCUUAUAGAAAUCUUAUCCAAUGUGCUAUCAAAUCCCACUUUCCGAUUUACAAAAACACCUUCGAGUUGUCGUAGGUGCUCGGUUUUAUGACUUAGGAUCUGAUUUUGACCCAAGUUGAUAACCGGCCCUCUCCGGAUAUCAAUAUCUAGUUUUUCUAAAUAAUUUUUGCGAGAAUUUACUCUUAACUUCUUUCUUAAGAUGUUUAUAUCAUUUAUUUUUCCAAUAUACAUCAUUUUGCCUUAUUUUUGGCCCUACAAAGUAAGUAGAAGCUAUGUUUUCUAAAAGAGUUGCAUUAUUACUAAAAUUUUUACUACCUUCGUAUCUUUAAUCCAUAUUUUUCUACUUUAUCUUUUAACUUGGUUCUUCUAUAAUAAGAUCCAUAUCAUUGUCUUUCACUAUAUAGUCAUGUUAUAAUAUGACAAUGGAUCUUCUACCAUCAAGCUUAUUUGACACUAUCUUUAUAGUUGUUGAUUGAUUGACCAAGAUGGCAUAUUUUAUACCUUACAAAAAUUCAAUUACUAGUAAAGAGAUAGUAAGACUCUUUAUUUACAAUGUCUAUUUUUUUUAGGGUUGCUAGAUGACAUUUUAUUAGAUUGUGGGCCACAAUUUUUAUCAAGGUUUUGGAAGGCACUAUUCAAAAUUCUUAAGGUUGAUAUCAAUCUUUCUUCUACCUUUCACCCUCAAAUUGAUGGUCAAACAAAGUAAGUCAACUAAAUUCUUGAGCAAUAUUUAAGCUAUUGGCGAAUUAAAUGAGGAAGGAACAUCUUCUAUUCUAAAUUCGUGACAAAGUGUGGCUUCUUUGGCACAAUAUAAAAACCAACAAGUCAUGUGAUAAGUUGGACUAUCAAAGGUUGGAACCAUUUGUGAUUCAAAAAUAAAUCAAUAAUGUAACUUAACGCUUGGAGUUACCUUCAUCCAUGAAGAUUCAUCUAGUCUUUCAUGUUUUACUUUUGAAAAGAUAUAAAGAAUUGAAUAUACCAAGACAAAGACAACCACUACUUCCUAUGAUUGAAAUCAAUGAUCAUAUUGAAUUUGAGGGAGAAGAGGUAUUAGAUUCAAGGAUAAAACAUAGAAGGCUUGAAUAUCUAGUCAAUUGGUAUAGAUAUGAUAUCAACAAUCGCACAUAAGAACCAAUUGGUAACUUUGUAAAUGCACAAAUGAAGGUUCAAAAGUUCGAUCAAUGACAUCCAUCCAAAUCAAAAGCAACAAAAUGAAGAAUAAUAGCUUAGUAAGAUGGCUUCACCAUGAAGAUUCUUAAUUCUUGGCCUCAUAAAGAAGGAGAGGAGCCAACCUUUAAAAAAGCAGUUGUUGUCAAAUGUUUAAAAUAGUAUAAGUCAGUAGUUUGAAUUUAUGACCAUAGCCUAUUUAUAUUCUUUUGGUCUUGUCUAUUUUAUGUGAUAUGGAUAAUCAAGAUAUAGAUAUCCUAUCGAUCAUACCAUAACAAUGAAGUAGCUUAUGGAAAUGACCCAGAAAUGAAGAGCUGCUUGAACUAUAAAGAUAUCAAAGGAUAAUCAGUAAUAGGUCACUAGUUGUUUUGUUUGAGGUAGAACCCUCCUACGAAGGACGUCAAGAAGUAAUAUUGGCAAGACAAUUUCAUAACAAAGAUUCCAAAUUUCAUGCUUAGUUACAAGUAGAAGGCUAGAGGCACUAUCAAUGGUUACAAGGGCCUAUGAACUAUUUCCCUUACAAAAAAAAACUAGAAUAUAUAGCGGAUACCAUGAGAUAGAUCUUCAACUUCUUGCACAUAUACUAACUUGCAACAACAUUACUUCUUAAAGGCCUCAAAGCUAGGAGAGGAGGUGAUGUUAUAGAUAUACAAUUGAAGAAGAGUUAAAAAAAUUCUAGGAGAUUUUAGAAGGUUUUAAGAAGGUUCUUAUAGAUCUUAAAAGAUUCCAAUAGGUUUUAAGAAAGUUUUAAAAGAUUCCAAUUGAUUCUUCAUAGAAACUUUUCAAGAAGCUUUCUAUGACCUAAUAUAUAUGAGUCGGAGUUGAGGUGAUCUUUAGUCUUAACAACUCAUUUUUUGUGAUUUACUCAAGACUUUCAUGCCUUAUAUCCAAUUAUUAUUCUAAUGUCGAGCUUACUCCAUUUUUUGAUCUUCAAUUUUUGUUUUGUAUAUGAUCUCUUACAAUAAUAGAUAAGUAAAAAUAAUUCUCAAUCUAGAUAAGAUCUUUAUUGUGGUGCAACAUGGAAUUUUACUAGGCUAUAUAGUGUUUAAGAAAAAAACAGAGCUUGAUCUAAAAAAAUAAAAGUAAUUAUGAACCUUCAACCUCCUUCAAUUGUGAAAGAAGUACAAAAGAUCAUGGUCACGUGGAUUGGUACCAUGAGAUUAUUUACAAUUAUGCCAUCAAAGUCCUUCUCAUAAUUAAACUACAACAAAAAGUAGUCAAAUUUGAGUAGACCCCAGAAUGCUAACAAGCGUUUGAUCAAUUAAAAAGAGAUCUAAGUACUUAUCCAAUAUUUAAACCAUCAAAUUGGAAUUAAACAUUUCAUAUAUAUUAUAAUGCUUCAUUAGCUGUGGUACAUAAUAUUUUAUUUUAGCUAUCAAAUGGUGAAAGGAAAGACUAUCCUAUUGCUUAUGCAAGCAAACAAUUGAAUAUAGCUAAAAAGAACUAUAAUAUAAUUAAGAAGGAAUAUUUGACAACGAUUUUUUUGGUGAAGAAGUUUCAUCAUUAUCUCUUCUUGAACUUAAUAGUCUUCUUUGUAGAUUAUAUGGCUAUUAAAUACUUAGUCAAUAGGAUAAAUUUGAGUGAGAGGAUACAUCAAUGGAUUUUUCUCUUUAAAGAAUUUGACUAUUUCAUAGAAUAUAAGCUAGGUAGAAUGCAUAGCUGAGCAGACUAUUUGUCGCAAUUUUUGGAGGAUCUUAAUCUUACAACUUUGGAUGAUAGCCUUGUAGAUGAACACCUCUUUACUAUCUUAUCCACUCCGAUCUAGAAUUUCCAUAUCAUCCAAUUUUGGACAAUUUAAUAAUUAUUACAGAAUCUAUGCAAGAAUAAACGAUGAAAGAUUAGAGUAAAUAGUAGAUACUUUGCAGUGAUAGAAAAUAAGUUGUAUUAGAGAGGAGUAGAUAGAAUUCUUUGAUGUUGUAUAAUGGCUGAAGAAAUACCAACCAUUUUAAUUGCAUGCUAGGAUAAUAGAUACAUAGGUCACUUUUUUAUAUGUUAAUAGGCCAGAAGGCCCUUUGAGCCACUUAUUACUUGCUUCACAUGUUUAGAACUAUCCAUUACUAUAGGAAAUAAUAUAAUGCAUGUCAAUAAUAUACAAGAAAUAAUCUUUAUAUGAAAUUAUUCGUUACAGUGUCAUUGCCAUUAGUUCCCUUUGAAAAAUAGAGAAUUGAUUAUAUUAAAAAAAAUUAUCUUAAUUCUUUUAGUAGUAAAAAAUAUAUUAUCAUGGCUACCAAAUAUCUAACCAAAUGAGCUGAAGCUAAGGCAGUAACAACAAAUGUUGUUAAGACUAUAGCUAACUUCAUAUUUAAACACAUUAUUACUCAAUUUGAUUGUUCUAAGAUAUUGAUUAGUGAUAGAGGUUGAUACUUUUUGAACAAAGUAAUGGAGGAGGUUAUAAAAUGAUUUGCAAUUAAUUAUUGAAAGAUAAUAUCCUAUCACUCUUAAAUCAAUAAUCAUACAAAAAGAAUGAAUCAAAUUCUUGUGAAUAUCUUACAAAAAACCAUGGUGGAUUCAAAACAAGAUUGAAAUAUCAAACUCUUGUGGCCUUGUAGGCAUAUAGAAUCACUUUCAAGGUUACUACCCAAGCUACAUCUUUUUCUUUGAUUUAUAGAUUAGAAUCUAUCUUACCAAUUGAGUUGAAAAUUCCAUCUUUCAGUAUUACCAUCAAUGAGAAGCUUUCCUAUAAUAAAUCCUUGAAGGACUACUUAGAAUAAUUAAAAUACUUGAACAAAAUACGUAAGACGAAUACUCAACAUAUAGAGGCUAUUUAGAAGAGGUACAAAAUUGCUUUUAAUAAAAGACACAAAAAUCGAGUUCUUUAAUCUAGCAUAUUGGUCCUACUUCAAGUUGCUAGAAAUCUUGAUUUUUUAGGCAGGUUUAAUGCACUUUGACUAGGUUCCUAUUAUGUCAAGGAAGUAUUUUUCAAUAAUUCUAUUUAAUUACAAACCUUAAAUAGAGAGGACUUCUCAACUUAUACUUUUAAGAAUAGAUGCAAGAAGUAUAAAACUUAAUAAAUAAGAUGUUACCAUCGUCUUGUAUUUAUUAACCAUUUUCUAAAUUUAGAUAUUAAAAUUUUUUUAUGUAGAUAUUUACCAUCAUUAUAAGAAUUCAAAUUUUUUUAAUAUUUAAAGUUGGCCAAUAACCUGCUACUACUAUAUAAUUUAGAAUAAUCUCCAAAAAUAUCCCCCUAUGGAUAUAAGAAGUUAGUUGAGACUAAGAUUAGAUCCAAAUUGGUCCAAGGUUCAAAUUGUAUGACUUUACAUAUUGGUGCUAUCUUAUUGUAAGCUAGAGAUUAUAUAGAAAAAGAAUCUAUAUAACAAAUAUGAUAGGAUUUUCCAAAGGAGAUGUACUUAGACUAACUUAUAUAAACUUUUAAAAUAAUUUAUUUAGAUUCAUACUAAUAUAAGCUGACAUUAACAUUUUAACUCAUUACAUAAUAAUUUUUCUUAAUAUUCUAUGGUCUUUUAGUCCAAAUUCACUCAGGAUGAAGAUAAAAGGUGGUUUGACAAUGUUUGAACUAUUGUCAUGGACACAGAAAUACAGACUUGAGAUCUAAGCAGAUGUUCAAGAAGAACUGGUAAGAAUUAGAUUAAUUUGAUGAAUACAAAAAUAACACCAGAGAGGUGAGCUAGAGCUUCAAGAGAUGUGUUGUCGAGACUGAAGAACUCUUCAGCCUCGAUUCCAAUAUAUACUCCUAUUUAGGAAGCUUCUCAAGCAACUUCUACCAACUAGGAAGCUUCUAAAAGGUUCUAGAGACUUGCUUCUAGAAGGUUCUAGAAACUUGUCUCUAAAAGAUUCUAAAGACUAUGUCCUUAAUAUCUUCUACUAACUAUGAAGCUUCUAGAAGAUUCCAGAGAUUUGCUUCUAGAAGGUUCUAGAAACUUGUCUCUAGAAGGUUCUAAGGACUAUGUCCCUUAUAUCACCUCCUCCUUUAGCUUCGAGGUCUCUGAGAAGCAAUGUUGUUGUUUAUCAGUACCAACGCAAGAAAAUGAAGAUCUGUUGCAUAACGUCUGCUAUGAACUCCAACUAUUGUUCACGAGACAAGUGGUUCAUUGGCCCUUGAAGCCAAUGGUAGUGGCCCACGCCUUCGACUUCUGACCAAGCAUGAACUUUCAUGUCCUAAUUAUGAAAUUGUCCUGCAAACACGUCUUCUGGUUGACCAUCGUAAGUAGGCUCAAAUUCAAAUACAAUCACCAAUGAUCGGUUAUUUGGUAUCCUUCGUCGUAGUCAUGGUGUAGGCAGUUCUUCAUCUCGGGGUUGCCUCCGUGAGCUAGUUGGUUGAGAUAAUCUGAUGGGCAUAGUAUCUAUCUCUUGGCUAUCCAUAUCAGAAGACCAAACUAUGGCUACUGAAAAAAUUUUACUUUAUCUUGGAGAAAAUAACUACAUCAACUACGAAUUUUGGUGGUGCUCUCCCCCUUUCUUAUAUUCUUGGGUGAACAAGCUUUAGAAGGAAGCUAUCGUUGAACUGAUUUAGGUUUAUGAGGAUGUUGUUGAUCAAACUCCUAUACCUUUUGCGACGCAUUGGCGAGAUUUUUAGCUGGCUCCCACGUUGUCGUAUUAUGUGCUAUCUUGCUUGAGAAUGUGCCAGGCAUCUGGCUGUAGGAGGUAGUAUGGUGUUUUGCUAGUACUCAAGCAGUCUAUCGGGUUCUUGACUACCCAAAUCCAAUCUAUAUCGGAUUGCAAUGUAAAAGCUUAAUUCCAAUAUAAAACGCCUAGAGACUCUAUAUAACUUCAAUCGCUUUUGUUAUUUUUAUUUUAUUUUAUUUAUUUUAUGUUUUUUAUUUUUUCUUUGUCGUUAAUUACCUUAAUUCUAGACUGUGAACUUUGGUAAGCUGUGAUCCUCAAUUUGUCCUUCCGACUUGUUGUGAAACAUCUAUCGCUAGUGUCUCAGCAAGCCCUUUCGAAUGCUCAAGAAGUUCCAGUUUAACCCCGCUUACAGAUUGUGAGGCUAUGAUAUAAUUUAUACCGAUUUCCCUUGGCCGCUCGCCGACAUUCUUCUUAUUCCUGUCGGUAGGUCCCCAGUUAUGAUAGAAAUCCUAAACAACCCCCAAUUUGCCAACUCCCAAUACCUCUUUAAACUGUUGGCAGAUAUCUUCUAUGCAUAUAGUCAGAUUAAUACAACCACACAUGCAUUCAGCAUACUCAAACUUCUAGACAACUCUAAAUUUCAACCACAAAAGUAUCUCCUAUUUCAUCAACAAUCAAGAGUGCUAGUCUUUCCUCUCUUAUGGAAAAAAAUCUAGUGCACCAAUAUAACAUUGACUUUCAACAACGAUUGCGUCAGUCUUCCAAAAACCUUAUGAAGAAAAAAAAAUCCCAAUUCUCUAUCUUUUUGAAGCAUGAAGCUAGCUCUCCGACCCUUAAAACCUUCGAUUCUCGAAAAAAAAAGUCCAUUUCUUAACCUACCCUCUCUUUUUACCAUGAGAAGAUCCUAUUCUUCCACUGUGGACUCCUUGAAUUGGACCGCCAACCUCCUGCUUUUCUCCCCCCAUUUUUGCCUUUUAGAGAUCUUUUUACAGAAAGGACGUUCUCGGAACGGUACAAAGAAUGGAACAACCUGAAACGAAUCGAAGCCCGUAAUCGGACCACAUUGGGUUGCUUGACCAAGUCAGGUCUCAUAUUGGAUAAGAGGCCCGUAAUAGGACCUGGAUUAGAGGUCUUCUGAAAUUGGAUCCAAUUGGCUCUUCGAACGAGGCUCACCCGUCGUUGAAUUGGUCCUUUCCUUUUCUGCUGAUUCCUGUUAUUGUAAUCAAACGGAGCAUUUCGUUACUAGUGAGUAUGCCCCGGCUGACUGUAACGGGGUGACUGAACCUGGCCUCUCAAUAUUUGCACUGGAAUUGGCUGCCGCUUCUAACAUCCAAUGUGACUAAAUAUUAAUAAAUCUUCUUCAUUUAUAUUUUCAUCAUAUAGACGUGUUACAAUACAUUAUCCACCCCCUCUGAACCUGUGCAUCCUUUGGUAUGCACCAAUUAACCUAGUUGCCGUUUGAUUCAUAAUAUGUUCUCCAAAUCUUUGUCUAGUCCAUCUCCACUGUCUCUGCUAUCCAAAUCAAUUUCAUCUUCCCACUAUGAAAUAUCUAUGUCUUCAUUAAGGUCUUCUAUAUUUAUUUGUGCAUAUCUUUGUUUAAACAAUUUCACUCUCUUCUUUGCAAUUGGUAUUUUUAACCUUAUGUCAUCUAACUCCCGCAAUGAAUAAGUUGCAUUAUCAUGAACAGUUAUUACCACAUAUGGUCCAAAUCAACGUUUUGAAAACUUCCGUAAAGUCCUCUAUUGGUUGUCCAAACUACUAUCAUAAACAAGUACCCAAUCACCUUCUUCAAUUGCUUUAGGUCUCAAUCGAUGUUGCUUAUCGAAUCGUGCCUUAUUUUGUAACCUUACUUUUUUUAACCUUUCUAAUGCUAUAUGCACAUCUUCCGAUCUUUGCUCCAAUUAUCGAAUCCUAAUAGCCAGAAGUUCUUCUCUUAUCAAUCCAUCUUCCCAUGUUAGCAUACUCCAAGUAAGUACCCUUUCUUCAAUUGACAUAAUUGGUUUUCGACCUGUCAUAAGUUCUACUGGCAUACAUAUUGACACCGAACUAUGUGUUGUUCGAUCAAUCUAUAAUGCAAAUGACAAAAGCCGUGACUACUCUCUAACUUUUCCAUUACAAGCUUUAACUAAUACUUUCACAAUUGGUGGGUGACCACGUUUGCUUUUUGCAUUCCCUUCCGGAUUAUAAGCAGUAGUCAGUGAUAGUUUAACUCCACAUCUUUCAAAGAACUUACGAGCUUUUUGUGCAUUUAAUUCUCCAUGAUCUGCAAUGAUUUUUCCUAUGCAUCCGUAGUGGCAAAUGACAUCUUCAAGCUAAAACCUACAAAUCCCCUCUGUAGAUUUUGUCCUCAAUGCUCUUCCUUCUACUUGAUUUGAUAAAUCUUCACAAGCUAAGAUCAAAUAUCUCAUCUGCCAUAACCCAACCGACAUAAUAACCAAAUCAACAACCCAUUUAAAAUGAAUAGCCAAAGGAUAUGUAGGAUGAAGACCAUCUCGAUGUCGGAUAUUAGAAUACUAUUGACAAAUUUCACAUGACUCUACAAAUGAGAGCACAUCUCGAUACAUAUUUUUCCACCAAUAUCGUUCCUUGAGUUUAGCAAAAGUAGCCUAGAUUCUUCUAUGCCCUACCCAUAAACUAUCAUGAAACUCCUUUAAUAAUUUUAGUUUUUCUUCCCUUUUGCCUAUCACUCGUUGUGGCAUCCCAAUUCCUUUCUUCGGUCUCUUCUAUAAGAAUCCAUCUCGAAGUAAAAAUCCAUAUGUUUUUUUUUCUUAUUUGUUUGAAUUUUUCUGUAGGCCGAUUCCCCUGCUUACUCAAGGUAUUCAAAUAAUGACCAAUAUCCAAUAAUUCUUUUUCAUAAGAUUCUUCAAGAAAUAGCUUGUCUUCUUUGUUGAGAUUUGAUAUUGAAUAGAAUUUCAAUCCGACAUCAUCAAUGUCUUCAACCAUUUCGUCCUCCCUCUCGUAUCUUGCUCGAGAUAGCAUGUCUGCUACUAAAUUGUCCUUCCCAAUGAUAUGCUUAAAUUCUGGAUUUAGUGACUUAAUAUAAGCAAUCCAUCUCAACAUUGCAAUAUCUGGCGUUGAACAGUUAGUAAUCAUUCCAAGCAAUGGCAAGCAAUCUGUUUCAAUUACUACUACUGCCGCAAUCAAAUAAUCCUUUUCAGCUUUCAUAGCCGAAACGACUCCCCAAAGUUCUCUUUUGACUUACGAAUAUGCACGCUGACGAAUACUUAAAACUUUAGCCCCAAAUCGAACUGCAAAUCUACUCCCAUUUGAAUCAUCUUGAUCCACAGCCCAUCUAAUGGCAAUUGGACUAGUGUCCACAGUAAGAAUCACUGGUCUAUUGCACUCAUAAUCAACCUUCCUUAAUAUUGGAGGUAACAUCAAUAAUUUCUUCAAUCUUUGCAUUGCCUUAAUAUGCCUUUCUUCCAAUUUCAAUUGGUAGCCCUUGCGUAACAGUUCAUAUAAUGGAUCCACUAUAUGAGCAUAAUGAGGGAUCUAGAUUCGAUAAAAUAUACAUGCACCUAAAAACCUGUGAACCUCUGUUAAAGAAUCACAAUCCUCUUUCAUCCUUCCAAUUGUAUCAACUUUAGUCGGAUCUGGUUCUCUUCCGUAAGAUUCACAUAAAUAUCCAACAAUCACAACCUAUUGUACUCCAAAUAUGGACUUCAUACCCGAUAAUGUAAGAUGAACUUCUCCAAGCCGAGUUAAAAUCUUUUCACAAUCUUGUAUAUGAUCAACAACAUAUUUGUAACAUCCUCUCUUAUCUAAAGUUUCAUCCUUGUCUCCUUCUCUGUACCUUUUUAUAGGAACAUCAUCUCGAAAAGGCAUAGUCUUCUCUAGAAUAAAAUCUCUCAAUACCUUAUUCAUUCCAUUCAUCAUAUGUACAGCUGAGUUCAUGGCGCCUUGAGGAAGAGUGCACAUUCUAACCAAUCUAAGUAGUGUUCUUAUCAUUGUCAUAUCUCUAUUUCCUUCGGCUAGUUGAAAUUGAUCAUAACCUAAAUACAAGUCUUCCAUUGAAUAGAUCGUCCUUCCUACAAACGCCUCAGUAAAUUCAUCCACAAUAGGUCCAAUUCCUGCAUUUCUAACAGUUACUGCAUUCAUCAGUUGCAUAACUUGAAUAAAACGUAGUGACCCAUUCUUCUUAGGUACCGUAAACCAUCGACUAGAAUGCGGCAUGAAUGAGGGUUCCAAUAUUUUCAUCUUCAUCUUUUCUUUUAAUAGUUCCACCAAUUUAGGUAAAUGUACCCUCGAUACUAGAAUCGGUCUUAGAUUCCAAGGUACAUGCGAUAAAGUGAAGAUAAACAUAGGUGUUAUAAUAUUCAGAUCCACAUACCCAAUUUCAUAAGAUUCAAAGGCAAAUGAUCUACCUUGUUUAGCCAACAUCUUUUUGAAGGAAAUAAUUUCCUCCGGCAAUAAAGAACCAUCACAACCAAUCUUCAAUUCUUCAAAAGUCUCUUUAGUAAACUGAUGUCCAAUACUCAUUGGAUUUCUUAAACUUUCUUCUUUAGAUGCUUCUCACAUUUGUUCCUUAGAAUCUUCUCAUAAUGGUUCAGCAACAUACUUUAUCUUCUUAUUUGCCGUUUUAUAUAUCGUCUCUACAGUGACUUCUGGUGCUUGAAAAGAUUCAAGUAUGGUAUAAACCUCUCUUGAAUGAAUCUCAACAAUCUUAUCAUUAUCCUCUAACCCAAUAGAUGUAAUCAAUUCCAAUGAAUCUUCCAGUCCGUUUUCUUCAUAAACACCUAAAAUCCUCUCAUCAUCUUGCAAUGUACCUAUCUUGCGUAAUUUUCCUUCAAUUUUAUAUAAUCUUUUUCUUUCUUUCUUUUAAAAUCAUCAACUUUUUUAUACAUAAUAUUUCCAUUCUCGAAAAUACCAAUAAAACUCACAUCAAAGGCACCUUCAUCUCACGAGAGUACCUCCUCUUUUGUACCUUCAUAAUCUCGCUUUAUAGUGAUACCUCCUCAAAAUCCUUAAAUCCUUCAACAAUCUUUGGCAAUGGUUUCUCCCUCAACCUAUCUCGAUUCCGUUCAUGGUUAGGAGGUACUGUUAGAAAUUGUACAGCUUUCCUCCCAUCUUUGCUCCGUACCCUUGCAUAAGCAGAACCAUCGUCAAGUACUUUUGUUUCCAUCCGUGUUGCCAUAGUAUAAGGUUAUCCUAAAAUCAACAGAUAAGUCGUAUCUUGAACAAAGAAAUGUUGCUCCGUCGCAACAUCCCUAAUCCAAAUAUUGACAUCUAGACAAGCUCCAUAUAAUUUUCCCCAUGUGUUAUUAGCUGCUCGUUGUCGUAUUACGUACUUUCCUGCUCGAGAACGCACCGGGCGUCUGGCUGUAGAAGGUAGUAUGGAGAUUCAUCGAUAGUCAAGCAGUGUAUCAGUUUUGACUGCUGGAAUAUAAACGACUGCAACAAUGUACCGUAAAUCUAUACGGAUGCUCUUCGACUGCUUGUCAAAGUCCUUUUUGCCCUAGCCGGUAGGUCUCUAGACGUUACAGAGAACCCCGAACAACCCAAACUGUUAAUCUUCAAUACCGCUUUGUACUUACGAUCUUGUAUCCACUGACUGUCUUGUUAGAUUAACCCAAUAAAUUUCAUUCACUCCGCAUAUUCAAUCCUAUAGACGCCCGUUUAAUCCUUCAAUCACAGACGUAACUCGAUUUCACAAAACAGUCAAGAAUAUUCAAACCCACUUCAUUAAAAAUCUCGAUUCACCAUUACAAUACUGACUUCAGCAGCGAUUGCCUCAGCCUUCCCAAAACUCUACGAAGAAGAAAAAUCCAAAUUCUCUGUCUUUCUUUCCCCGACCCGAAGCAUGAAGCUCCUCUCUCUCUAAUCCCUCCUUGAUCUUCAGAAACCUCCAAUGAAAACCGAACUAGUAACCUUGCAAAAGCUUGAAAACUAGCUCCUCCCGAUUCCCAGAGAAAAAAAAAAAACCCUCCUUUCAAAACUAUAUCCCCCCUAACCUUAUCCUCUGAAUUUCUUCAAUCUUCCAUCUUAGAUCCGGAAUUGGCUCCCACCUCAAGCUUGGAUCCAAAAUUGGCUCUCGUCGUCAAGCUUGGAUCCGAAAUUGGCUCUCGCCGUCAAAGCUUUCUCCUCCGUUUUUACCUUUAAGAAAUCCAUUUAUCGAAAACAACGUUCCCUGAAACGGCACAGAGAACAGGACAGCCUGAAACAGAAUCGAACCCCGUAAUCGGAACAACAUUGAGUCGCUCGGCCAAUUCAGGUCUCAUAUUGGAUAAGAGUCCAGUAGUAACCUGGAUGUUCUUAUAAUUGGAUCAAAUUAGUCCUCGCGUCGGAUUGGAUAAGACCCGUAGUAAGACCUGGAUUUCCCGUAAUUGGGUUGACCGGCCAAUUCAGGUCUCAUAUUGGAUAAGAAACCCGGAUUGGAUUCUCGAAAUUGGAUCCAAUUGGCUCUUCGAACCCGUCGUGUGAAUUGGUCCUUCUCUUCCUACUGACUCCCGUUAUUAGAAUGGAAUGGAGCAUUUCAGUAUGCCCUGGCUGACUGUAACGGAGUGACUGAACCUGACCACUCAGUAUUUGCACUGGAGUUGGUCGAUGCUCCCAAUAUUCGAGGUAGCUGAAUAUUAAUAAAAUUCUCCUUUCUUUUUAUUUUCACUGUAUACUCGUGUUACAAUACGACAUCCACCCCCUCUGAACCUAUGCAUCCUCCGGUAUGCACCAAUUUACCCAAUUGCUGUUUGAUUCAGAAUAUAUCUUCUACGUCUUUGUCCAGUUCGUCUUCGUCACCUUCAUUAUCCAAAUCACUUUCAUCUUCUUACUGCGGAAUCUCUAUACCUUCAUUAAGGUCUUCCAUAUUCAUCUCUGCAUGUCUUCGUUUAAAUAUUUUUACUCGCUUCCCUACAAUUGGUAUUUUCAAUUUUAUACCAUCUAACUCCCGUAAUGAGUAAGUCGCAUUACCAUGAACAGUUGUUACCACAUAUGGUCCAAACCAACGUUUUGAGAGUUUCCGCAAAGUACUAUGUUGAUUAUCCAGACUAUUGUCAUAAACAAGUACCUAGUCACCUUCCUCGAUUGCUUUUGGUCUCAAUCGAUGUUGCUUAUCGAAUCGCGCCUUGUUUUGUAACCUUGCUCUUUUUAACCUUUCCAAUGCUAUCUGGACAUCUUCCGUUCUUUGCUCCAAUUGUCGAAUCCUAAUAGCCAGAAGUUCUUCUCUUGUCAAUCCAUCUUCCCAUGGUAGCAUACUCCAAGUGAGUACCUUUUUCUUCAAUCGACAUAAUUGGUUUUUGACCUGUCAUAAGUUCUACUGGCAUAUAUCCUGUCACCGAACUAUGUGUUGUUUGAUCAGCCCAUAAUACAAAUGACAAUAGCCGUGGACACUCUUUAACUUUCCCAUUACAAGCUUUAACCAAUGCUUUCACAAUCGACGGGUGACCGCGUUCGCUUUUUGCAUUCCCUUCCGGAUUAUAAGCAGUAGUCAGUGAUAGUUUAACUCCACAUCUUUCAAAGAACUUACGAGCUUCUUGUGCAUUUAAUUCUCUACGAUCUGCAGUGAUUUUUCCUACGCACCCGUAACGGCAAAUGACAUCUUCAAGCAAAAACCUACAAAUCCCCUCUGUAGAUUUUGUCCUCAAUGCUCUUCCUUCUACUUGAUUUGAUAAAUCUUCACGAGCUAAGAUCAAAUAUCUCAUCUGCCAUAACCCAACUGGCAUAAUAACCAAAUCAACAACCCAUUUAAAAUGAAUAGCCAGAGGAUACGUAGGAUGAAGACCAUCUCGAUGUCGGAUAUUAAAAUACGAUUGACAGAUUUCACAUGACUCUACAAAUGAGAGCACAUCUUAAUACAUAUUUUUCUACCAAUAUCGUUCCUUGAGUUUAGCAAAAGUAGCCCAGAUUCCUCUAUGCCCUGCCCAUAAACUAUCAUGAAACUCCUUUAAUAAUUUUAGUUUUUCUUCCCUUUUGCCUAUCACUCGUUGUGGCAUCCCAAUUCCUUUCUUCGGUCUCUUCUAUAAGAAUCCAUCUCGAAAUAAAAAUCCAUAUGUUUUUUUUCUUAUUUGUUUGAAUUUUUCUGUAGGCCAAUUCCCCUGCUUACUCAAGAUAUUCAAAUAAUGACCAAUAUCCAAUAAUUCUUUUUCAUAAGAUUCUUCAAGAAAUAGCUUGUCUUCUUUGUUGAGAUUUGAUAUUGAAUAGAAUUUCAAUCCGACAUCAUCAAUGUCUUCAACCAUUUCGUCCUCCCUCUCGUAUCUUGCUCGAGAUAGCAUGUCUGCUACUAAAUUGUCCUUCCCAAUGAUAUGCUUAAAUUCUGGAUUUAGUGACUUAAUAUAAGCAAUCCAUCUCAACAUUGCAAUAUCUGGCAUUAAACAGUUAGUAAUCAUUCCAAGCAAUGGCAAGCAAUCUGUUUCAAUUACUACUACUGCCGCAAUCAAAUAGUCCUUUUCAGCUUUCAUAGCCGAAACGACUCCCCAAAGUUCUCUUUUGACUUACGAAUAUGCACGCUGACGAAUACUUAAAACUUUAGCCCCAAAUCGAACUGCAAAUCUACUCCCAUUUGAAUUAUCUUGAUCCACAGCCCAUCUAAUGGCAAUUGGACUAGUGUCCAUAGUAAGAAUCACUGGUCUAUUGCACUCAUAAUCAACCUUCCUUAAUAUUGGAGGUAACAUCAAUAAUUUCUUCAAUCUUUGCAUUGCCUUAAUAUACCUUUCUUCCAAUUUCAAUUGGUAGCCCUUGCGUAACAGUUCAUAUAAUGGAUCCACUAUAUGAGCAUAAUGAGGGAUCUAGAUUCGAUAAAAUAUACAUGCACCUAAAAACCUGUGAACCUCUGUUAAAGAAUCACAAUCCUCUUUCAUCCUUCCAAUUGUAUCAACUUUAGUCGGAUCUGGUUCUCUUCCGUAAGAUUCACAUAAAUAUCCAACAAUCACAACCUAUUGUACUCCAAAUAUGGACUUCAUACCCGAUAAUGUAAGAUGAACUUCUCCAAGCCGAGUUAAAAUCUUUUCACAAUCUUGUAUAUGAUCAACAACAUAUUUGUAACAUCCCCUCUUAUCUAAAGUUUCAUCCUUAUCUCCUUCUUUGCACCCUUUUAUAGGAACAUCAUCCAGAAAAGGCAUAGUCUUUUCCGGGAUAAAAUCUCUCAAUACCUUAUUCAUCCCAUUCAUCAUAUGCGCAACUGAGUUGGUCGUGCCUUGAGGAAGAGUGCACAUUCUAACCAAUCCAAGCGGUGUCCUCAUCGUUGUCAUAUCUCUACUUCCUUCGGCAAGUUGAAAUUGAUCAUAACCUGAAUACAAAUCACCCAUUGAAUAGAUUGCCCUUCCAGCAAACGCCUCAGCAAAUUCAUCCACAAUAGGUCUAAUUUCUGCAUUCCUGACAGUUACAGCAUUCACCGGCUGCAUAUCUUGAAUAAACCGCAGUGACCCAUUCUUCUUAGGUACCGUAAACCAUCGACUAGAAUCUGGCGCAAAUGAAGGUUCCAAUAUUUUCAUCUUUAUCUUUUCUUUCAAUAGUUCCACCAAUUUAGGUAAAUAUGCCCUCGGUACUAAAAUCGGUCUUAGAUUCCAAGGUACAUGCGGUACAGUGAAGAUAACCAUAGGUGUUAUAAUAUUUGGAUCCACACACCCAAUUUCAUGAGAUUCGAAGGCAAACGAUCUACCUUGUUUAGCCAACAUCUUUUUGAAGCAAGUAAUUUCCUCCGGUAAUAAAGAACCAUCAGAACCAAUCUUCAAUUCUUCAAAAGUCUCUUUAGUAAACUGAUGUCCAAUACUCAUUGGAUCUCUUAAACUUUCUUCUUUAGAUGCUUCUCACAUUUGUUCCUUAGAAUCUUCUCAUAAUGGUUCAGCAACAUACUUUAUCUUCUUAUUUACCAUUUUAUAUCUCGUCUCUACAGUGACUUCGGGUGCAUGAAAAGAUUUAAGCAUGGUAUAAACCUCUCUCGAAUGAAUCUCAACAAUCUUAUCAUUAUCCCCUAACCCAAUAGAUGUAAUCAAUUCCAAUGAAUCUUCCAGUCCAUUUUCUUCAUAAACACCCAAAAUCCUCUCACCAUCUUGCAAUGUACCUAUCUUGCGUAAGUGUCCUUCAAUAUUAUAUAAUCUUUUUCUUUCUUUUCUUUUAAAAUCAUUAACUUUCUUAUACAUAAUAUUUCCAUUCUCCAAUAUACCAAUAAAACUCACAUCAAAGGCACCUUCAUCUCGCGAGAGUACCUCCUCUUUUGUACCUCUAUAAUCUCGCUUUACAGUGGUACCUCUCUAAAAUCCUUAAAUCCUUCAACAAUCUUUGGCAAUGGUUUCUCCCUCAACCUAUCUCGAUUCCGUUCAUGGUUAGGAGGUACUGUUAGAAAUUGUACAGCUUUCCUCCCAUCUUCGCUCCGUACCCUUGCAUAAGCAGAACCAUCGUCAAGUACUUUUGUUUCCAUCCGUGUUGCCGUGAUAUAAGGUUGUCCUAAAAUCAACGGAUAAGACGUUGUAUCUUGAACGAAGAAAUGUUGCUCCGUCGCAACAUCCCCAAUCCGAAUUUUGACAUCUGGACAAGUUCCAUAUAAUUCGCCCCGUGUGUUAUUAGCUGCUCGUAUUGCCCAUCCAUGUUCCAUAUCAAUUGGCCAUUUUUGCUUCUUAUAAAGAUCUUUAGACAUGAGAUUUAUUUCAGAACCAUGGUUGACUAAAGCAACUAUUGGUUCUUCUAUAUCUCCUACCUUCAUCAAUACCUCAGUAGUUGCCCUUGCCCAAUGCUUUCGAGUAUAAUGGCUCAAAGUUUCUAUUUCCUUGUCACUAGAAUCUUCGAAAUGUACUCGCUGAUUAUACCCAUUCUUUUCAUUUGUUGGUUGCUUGUAACCAAUAUCAACCUCUUCUUCAUCUCUACAUAUUCUUGCAUCAAUGGCAUGACUCAUUCCAGUUUCGCCCAUUAAUUGCCUCUUUCGCUUAAUGCUGUCAAUGAUAACAUCAUGAAACUCCUUAUUUGCAAUUUCCAAGACUUCUUUCAAUGUGAAUUCCACCUUAGCGUUUAAUAUACGUUCUUCCAACAUCCCUUUCAAAUUUGUUGCCGCUUCAAUGUCAGAAAGUAGCUUAUAAGCAAUUGAUUUGCCCUUAUCUUUUGUCUUCGUUGUUUUUUCUCCCAAUGAUGCUGAGGUAUUCUUUACAGACAAUUCUUGUGAAGCUGCCUCCCGAGCCUUGUCUCCUCGAGUUUGUCUCUUAAAAGAAUUUCCUUCUCUAAUAUCAUCAAAAUUUCCUCGUCUCUUUUCUUCCAUCAAAGCUUCAUGUUGGCUCUUAGCAAUAUAUGCAUGAACUGAAAGAGACUCAACAGGAUCCUCCCAACCUGUUCUACCUCAUAUUGUAGCUGCAGUUCUCAAUAACGCUUCUCGAGGUAAUUUCCCUUCUUGCAUUGUAGAAACGGCAGAAGUCCAAAACUCACUAGUUUCCGUACUUCCACCAAUUUCAUCAUCUACUCUAGCACCAUAACUUGCACUUUCUCGUACUACUGUUUCAUGCUCUUUUAAGUAAUCUUGAACCAAUGCUCUCAUUCUUCCCUUGCCAAAAUUGGUUUGAAGAAGAUCCUCCCUAUCUUUCAAUACUAUCUUCCCAUCUUUCCAGCAAAUAAUUCCCUGCCGUAUCAUAUUAUUAAAUUCAUUGCAAUCUUUUCUAGUGUGUGAAGCAUCAUCACACCAAAUGCAUCUUUGUACAUAUCCUUGUUUUGAAACAUUCUUCGAAUUGUUUAUAGAAGUAUUCUCUUCAAGUCUUGCUAAUUUGAUUUGAAGAUCUCGCAUUCUUCGUAUAAUUUCUUCCAUACCCAUAUCUGCUUUCUUUGACAAGGAUGUCGAAGGUUGAAUUGUAGGCAUUGUUGGUGGUGUUGUACGUACUGGAGCUUUGGGUGCUUGUACUGUUUUCGAAAUAUUGCUCCUAUCCUUCCUCCUUUCUUUUUUUGUAAGCAACCCCACCGCAUCUUCAACGUUCUUCCACUUCGUUGUCAAUCCUUCAUCUUCUUCUUUGUCUUAAGAAGGGGUUCUAAUUUCUCUUGCAAUUCUCCAUCAGCAGCUUGAAGAAAUAGAUCAACUUUGUUCGGCUCCAAUGUCAAUUUUUCUACCUUCGAUAAUUGAGAGUACUGCCUUUCAAAUUCCCUUAGUAGCUCUGUUGCUUGCAAAUUCUUGUUGGGCCGUUCAAUCCAUCCCAGAAAUAGCUUCUUAGUAACGCGAUCAGCAUCUUCCAAGAAAUAUUCGUCUUUCAAUGCAUGUGAAAAAUCCUCCCAUGAAUUCCCAUAACGAUCCGUAAUCGAUGUAAUGUGGUCCCUUAUCUCCGGUAUCGUGGCAAGUCUAAAUAGUGCAACCAUUUUCUUCUCAGAAAUCUGAUUUAAUUCUAUUUCACGAACAUAACAUCUUAAAUACCUUGAAAUAUUCCUUCCAUCAAAUUGAUCAAUUUUAUUGACCACUGCUUGCAAUACUUUGGUUGCCAAAGCUUCCUUUCGUUCAUUGUUUUGCUGUUGUUGCAUUGACAAUGAGAAGGCUUGAAACAAACUAGCAAUAGAUGGAUCGAUGUGCAUACCUUGUUUUUUAGAAGACUCCCCACCAGAAACUCCUCCUAAAAAUCCUUCAAAAUUUUUAUUUUCGUUUUCCAUAAAAAUAAAGAUAAAAUCAACCGAAAUCCAAUACCUUCUACCUCAAGCUUUCACGUCGGGUUCAUCACUUAUGUCGUAUUACGUGCUUUCUUGCUUGAGAAUGCGCCGGGCAUCUGGCUGUAGAAGGUAGUAUGGAGAUUCGUCGAUAGUCAAGCAGUCUAUCAGUUUUUGACUGCUGGAAUAUAAACGACUGCAACAAUGUACCAUAAAUCUAUACGAGUGCUCUUCGACUGCUUGUCGAAGUCCUUUUUGCCCCAGCCGGUAGGUCUCUAGACGUUACAGAGAACCCCGAACAAUCCAAACUGUUAAUCUUUAAUACCGCUUUGUACUUACGAUCUUGUAUCCACUGACUGUCUUGUUAGAUUAACCCAAUAAAUUUCAUUCACUCCGCAUACUCAAUCCUAUAGACGCCCUUUUAAUCCUUUAACCACAGACGUAACUCGAUUUCACAAAACAGUCAAGAGUAUUCAAAUUUACUUCAUUAAAAAUCCCGAUUCACCAUUACAAUACUGACUUCAGCAGCGAUUGCCUUAGCCUUCCCAAAACUCUACGAAGAAGAAAAAUCCAAAUUCUAUGUCUUUCCUUCUCCGACUCGAAGCAUGAAGCUCCUCUCUCUCUAAUCCCUCCUUGAUCUUCAGAAACCUAUAAUGAAAACCGAUCUGAAAAAAAAAAAAAAACCCUUAAAACUGAUUCCUCUUCAAACUUAUUCUCCCCCUAAUCUUAUCCUCUUGAAUUCCUUCAAUCUUUCGUCUUGGAUCCGAAAUUGGCUCUCGCCGUCAGAGCUUAGAUCCAAAAUUGGCUCACGUCUUCAAGGCCUUCUCCUCCGUUUUUACCUUUAAGAGAUCCAUUUACCGCAAACAACGUUCCCUGAAACGGCACAAAGAACAGGACAGCCUGAAACAAAAUCGAAACCCCGUACUCGGGUCCACAUUGAGUCGCCCGACCAAUUCAGGUUCCAUAUUGGGAAAGAUGCCCGUAGUAAUCUGGAUGUUCGCAUAAUUGGGUCAUAUUGGUCCUCACGUGAGAUUGGCUAAGACCCGUAGUAAGACCUGGAUUUCCCGUAAUUAGAUUGCAUUGGGUUGAUCGGCAAAUUCAGGUCUCAUAUUGGGUAAGAGGACCCGGAUUGGAUUCUCGAAAUUGGAUCCAAUUGGCUCUUCGAACCCGUCGUGUGAAUUGGUCCUUCUCUUCCUACUGACUCCUAUUAUUGGAAUUGAAUGGAGCAUUUCAAUAUGCCCCGGCUGACUGUAACGGGGUGACUGAACCUGGCCACUCAGUAUUUGUACAGGAAAUGGUCGUUGCUCCCAAUAUUCGAGGUAACUGAAUAUUAAUAAAAUUCCCCUUUCUUUUUAUUUUCAUUGUAUACUCGUGUUACAACACGACAACGCUGCUUGAUAUCAAUGGCUAUUGAAUCUUCAAUGGUCACGGCAUGCACCUGAUUGAGGAAGUCAGCAUCAAUUGGCACAAUAGUAGCGCAAAGCCAAAAUUGCUCUAGCUUUAACAAUGUCGUACAUUAUUGAUCAAAUGCUGCUUCUCUAGCCUUUGGUACAAGAUACGAUCUCCUCGAUAAGGCAUCAGAUAAUCCUUGCUAUUUCCAGGUCGAUAAGUGAUAACAAAAAUGAACCUAGAUAGCAACAUACUCCACCGAGCUUGACGUUGAUUUAGAACUCGAGCCGACAUGAAAUACUCCAAAUUCUUGUGAUCUGUGUAUACGGUCACUGAGUGUGCAGCUCCUUCAAGAAAGUGACGCCAUUCUUGGAAAGAAUUAACUAUAGCAAGAAGUUCUUUAUCGUGGAUCUCAUAAUUGAUUUCAGCAGCAAAGAACUUUCGAGAAUAGAAUGCAACCAGAUGGAGCUUCUUGUCUUUUCCUAUUUGUGAAAGUACAGCUCUCAAAACAAAAUCCGAAGCAUCAGUUUCUAAAUAAAAGGCCUUUGUAAAGUCUAGAUGUACCAAGAUUAGAGCCGUAGUAAAUGCAGUCUUCAGGUCUUGAAACGCCUUCUCCGAUAGAGGUCCAUAUUCCAGCUUAUCCUUGCAUGUCAAUCAAAAGAGAGGAGCAGCAACUUGAGAGUAAUUCUUGAUGAAGAUCCGAUAGAAGUUGGCAAAAUGAAAAAAGCAUUGUACGUCUCUAACUGUCUUCAGAACCUCCCAGGACACGAUUGCUUCCACCUUCUUGGGGUCCAUCUUCAAGCCUUCUGUAGUCGCAAUGAAUCCAAAAAACUCCAUCUCUAUUUGGUGAAAUAAAUACUUUUCCAACUUGGCAUAUAGUCCUCCCUCGCAUAGUUUCUCUAAGACCAAACAAACGUACUUUUCAUGCUCUUCAUCGUUUUUGGAGAAUAUCAAAAUAUCAUCCAAAUAGAUGACAACAAAAUCAUCAAGGUGCUCUUAGAAAAUGUCAUUCAUCAUAUGUUGAAAGACCGCUGGAGUAUUGGUAAGACCAAAGGGCAUGAUAUUAUACUCAAAAUGGCCAUACCUUGUAUGGAACGCUGUCUUCCACUCAUCUCCUUCCUUGAUUUGUACGAGGUUGUAAUCUCCCCUUAGAUCAAUUUUUGUAAAGAUCCUUGCACGUCCAAGUUAUUCUAAGAGAUCAGAAAUCAAGGAUAACGGGUAACAAUUCUUCUUCGUUACCUUGUUGAGGCCUCGAUAGUCCAUGCCCAUCCACAACAAGCUAUCUUUCUUCUUCACAAAUAAGAUGGGUGCUUCAGCUAACGAUUUUGAAUGACGGAUGAAGUUCUUGGCUAGAUUCUCAUCGAUGUGCUUCCGCAACUCCAUCAACUCCAUCUGCGAUAGAUUGUAGAUUGGGCCAAAAGGCGGUUGUGCUCCUUCUUGCAAGUUUAUGGUACAAUCAUAUGGUCGGUGUUUUGUUAGCAUGUCAGCAUUCUUUUUUUGAAACACGUCUUUAAAAUCCUUAUAUUGCUUAGGUAUACUUGCUGUUUAGAUCUUCUCCCCAGUAGUUGAAGCCGCAUAAAUGACAAACGGUGUGUCUUCCUUAGACGAUUUUAUAAUCACUCUUGCUCCAAUGAAUAAGGAUUUUUCUAUUCGGGGUUUUUACUAGGCUUACUCUUGGGUGGUUUUGUGGGAAAGGUCAUCUUCCGUAACUUCCAAUCUAUGGAUGGGUUAUGCUUUUUCAACCAGGAAAGACUAAGAAUAACAGGAUUUGAUGGGGUUCUAAUAAUAUUAAAAAUAAUAUGACUACUAUGGCCCUUAAACGUCACUUCUAUAGGUUCUGAUUCAUGGAUGAUACUACCAGACAAAAAAGGUCGUCCAUCGAUGACCUCAACGUGAACAAGUUUGGAUUUUUGUACUAAAGGGAUCUUAUGACGCUUCGCAAAUUCUUCGUCUAAGAAACAAGCAGAUGCUCUUGAAUCUAAUAAUGCUAAGGUUCUCAAUUUUUGAGGGCCAAUAAGCAAAGGGAUUGCAAAGCAAAGAGCAAGUUGAGCGGAAAGAAAAGAAUCUAGUUGUUGUUGCGAUAUUUCAUUGUCCAGCCGCACGGUUCCUAUUGUGGUUGGGCAACCUCGUUUUCUUGAAUAAAAGUGCCUCUAGUCCUGAUAAUACAUCGAUUUUGCUUCUUGGGGUAGUUUCUAACUUUGUGGCCUUCUUCACAGCAAUACAAGCAUAGACCUUCCUCCAUAUGCCACUUUUUUCUUCUAGAGUAAGAGAUUUGACAUGUACCACAUUAAUUUGCAUGUCUUCUACCUUUGAAUGUGAAUUCAUGUUGCUUGCCAACAUAGUUGGGAUAUGACAAACCAUGUGUUAUCUUGAACGUUGGUCUUGGUGGCGUUGGAAUAGGCGGUUAUCACACUUCACAGCUUGACUAAUAGCUUUGUUGAGCGUUGUCGUAUUACGUGCUUUCCUGCUCGAGAACGCGUCGGGCGUCUGGCUGUAGAAGGUAGUAUGGAGAUUCGUCGAUAGUCAAGCAGUCUAUCAGUUUUUGACUGCUGGAAUAUAAACGACUGCAACAAUGUACCGUAAAUCUAUACGGGUGCUCUUCGACUGCUUGUCGAAGUCCUUUUUGCCCCAGCCGGUAGGUCUCUAGACGUUACAGAGAACCCCGUACAACCCAAACUGUUAACCUUCAAUACUGCUUUGUACUUACGAUCUUGUAUCCACUGACUGUCUUGUUAGAUUAAUCCAAUAAAUUUCAUUCACUCCGCAUACUCAAUCCUAUAGACACCCUUUUAAUCCUUCAAUCACAGACGUAACUCGAUUUCACAAAACAGUCAAGAGUAUUCAAAUUUACUUCAUUUAAAAAUCCCGAUUCACCAUUACAACACUGACUUCAGCAGCGAUUGCCUCAGUCUUCCCCAAAACUCUACGAAGAAGAAAAAUUCAAAUCCUAUGUCUUUCCUUCCCCGACCCGAAGCAUGAAGCUCCUCUCUCUAAUUCCCUUGAUCUUCCAAAAACCUCCAAUGAAAAAUCCAACUGGUAACCUUCCAAAAGCUUGAAAACUCGCUCCCCCCUCGAUUUCCCUCAAAAAAAAACCCCCCUCAAAACUAUAUCCCACCUAACCUUAUCCUCUGAACUUCUUCAAUCUUCCGUCUUAGAUCCGGAAUUGGCUCCCACCUCAAGCUUGGAUCCGAAAUUGGCUCUCGCCGCCAAGCUUUCUCCUCCGUUUUUACCUUUAAGAAAUCCAUUUACCGAAAACAACGUUCACUGAGACGGCACAGAGAAUAGGACAGCCUGAAACAGAAUCGAACCCCGUAAUCGGGACCACAUUGAGUCGCCCGACCAAUUCAGGUCCUAUAUUGGUAAAGAUACCCGUAGUAACCUGGAUGUUCCCGUAAUUGGGUCAAAUUGGUCCUCGCGUCAGAUUGGCUAAGAUCCGUAGUAAGACCUGGAUUUCCCGUAACUAGGUCAAAAUGGUCCUUCUCUUCAUGCAGACUCCCGUUAUUAGAAUCGAAUGGAGCAUUUCAGUAUGCCCCGGCAGACUGUAACGGAGUGACUGAACCUGACCACUCAGUAUUUGCACUGGAGUUGGUCGAUGCUCCCAAUAUUCGAGGUAGCUGAAUAUUAAUAAAAUUCUCCUUUCAUUUUAUUUUCACUGUAUACUCGUGUUACAACACGACAUCCACCCCCUCUGAACCUAUGCAUCCUCCGGUAUGCACCAAUUUACCCAAUUGCUGUUUGAUUCAGAAUAUAUCUUCUACGUCUUUGUCUAGCUCGUCUUUGUCACCUUCAUUAUCCAAAUCACUUUCAUCUUCUUGCUGCGGAAUCUCUAUACCUUCAUUAAGGUCUUCCAUAUUCAUCUCUGCGUGUCUUCGUUUAAAUAUUUUUACUCGCUUCCCUACAAUUGGUAUUUUCAAUUUUAUACCAUCUAACUCCCGUAAUGAGUAAGUCGCAUUACCAUAAACAGUUGUUACCACAUAUGGUCCAAACCAACGUUUUGAGAAUUUCCGCAAAGUACUAUAUUGAUUAUCCAGACUAUUGUCAUAAACAAGUACCCAGUCACCUUCCUCGAUUGCUUUUGGUCUCAAUCGAUGUUGCUUAUCGAAUCGCGCCUUGUUUUGUAACCUUGCUCUUUUUAACCUUUCCAAUGCUAUCUGGACAUCUUCCGUUUUUUGCUCCAAUUGUCGAAUCCUAAUAGCCAGAAGUUCUUCUCUUGUCAAUCCAUCUUCCCAUGGUAGCAUACUCCAAGUGAGUACCUUUUUCUUCAAUCGACAUAAUUGGUUUUUGACCUGUCAUAAGUUCUACUGGCAUAUAUCCUGUCACCGAACUAUGUGUUGUUCAAUCAGCCCAUAAUACAAAUGACAAUAGCCGUGGACACUCUUUAACUUUCCCAUUACAAGCUUUAACCAAUGCUUUCACAAUCGACGGGUGACCGCGUUUGCUUUUUGCAUUCCCUUCCGGAUUAUAAGCAGUAGUCAGUGAUAGUUUAACUCCACAUCUUUCAAAGAACUUACGAGCUUCUUGUGCAUUUAAUUCUCUACGAUCUGCAGUGAUUUUUCCUACGCACCCGUAACGGCAAAUGACAUCUUCAAGCAAAAACCUACAAAUCCCCUCUGUAGAUUUUGUCCUCAAUGCUCUUCCUUCUACUUGAUUUGAUAAAUCUUCACGAGCUAAGAUCAAAUAUCUCAUCUGCCAUAACCCAACUGGCAUAAUAACCAAAUCAACAACCCAUUUAAAAUGAAUAGCCAGAGGAUACGUAGGAUGAAGACCAUCUCGAUGUCGGAUAUUAGAAUACGAUUGACAGAUUUUACAUGACUCUACAAAUGAGAGCACAUCUUGAUACAUAUUUUUCUACCAAAUAAUCCUUUUCAGCUUUCAUAGCCGAAACGACUUCCCAAAGUUCUCUUUUGACUUACGAAUAUGCACGCUGAUGAAUACUUAAAACUUUAGCUCCAAAUCGAACUGCAAAUCUACUCCCAUUUGAAUCAUCUUGAUCCACAGCCCAUCUAAUGGCAAUUGGACUAGUGUCCAUAAUAAGAAUCACUGGUCUAUUGCACUUAUAAUCAACCUUCUUUAAUAUUGGAGGUAACAUCAAUAAUUUCUUGAAUCUUUGCAUUGCCUGAAUAUGCCUUUCUUCCCAUUUAAAUCGGUAACCCUUGCGUAACAGUUCAUAUAAUGGAUCCGCUAUGUGAGCAAAAUGAGGGAUCCAGAUUCGAUAAAAUACAUAUGCACCCAUAAACCUGCGAACCUCUGUUAAAGAACCACAAUCCUCUUUCAUCCUUCCAAUUGCAUCAACUUUAGUCGGAUCUGGUUUUCUUCCGUAAGAUCCGCAUAAAUGUCCAACAAUUACAACCUCUCGCACUCCAAAUACGGACUUCAUACCCGAUAAUGUAAGAUGAACUUCUCCAAGCCGAGUUAAAAUCUUUUCACAAUCUUGUAUAUGAUCAACAACAUAUCUGCGACACCCCCUCGUAUCUAAAGUUUCAUCCUUGUCUCCUUCUUUGCACCCUUUUAUAGGAACAUCAUCCAGAAAAGGCAUAGUCUUUUCCGGGAUAAAAUCUCUCAAUACCUUAUUCAUUCCAUUCAUCAUAUGCGCAACUGAGUUGGUCGUGCCUUGAGGAAGAGUGCACAUUCUAACCAAUCCAAGCGGUGUCCUCAUCGUUGUCAUAUCUCUACUUCCUUCGGCAAGUUGAAAUUGAUCAUAACCUGAAUACAAAUCACCCAUUGAAUAGAUCGCCCUUCCAGCAAACGCCUCAGCAAAUUCAUCCACAAUAGGUCUAAUUUCUGCAUUCCUGACAGUUACAGCAUUCACCGACUGCAUAUCUUGAAUAAACCGCAGUGACCCAUUCUUCUUAGGUACCGUAAACCAUCGACUAGAAUCUGGCGCAAAUGAAGGUUCCAAUAUUUUCAUCUUUAUCUUUUCUUUCAAUAGUUCCACCAAUUUAGGUAAAUAUGCCCUCGGUACUAAAAUCGGUCUUAGAUUCCAAGGUACAUGCGGUACAGUGAAGAUAACCAUAGGUGUUAUAAUAUUUGGAUCCACACACCCAAUUUCAUGAGAUUCGAAGGCAAACGAUCUACCUUGUUUAGCCAACAUCUUUUUGAAGCAAGUAAUUUCCUCCGGUAAUAAAGAACCAUCAGAACCAAUCUUCAAUUCUUCAAAAGUCUCUUUAGUAAACUGAUGUCCAAUACUCAUUGGAUCUCUUAAACUUUCUUCUUUAGAUGCUUCUCACAUUUGUUCCUUAGAAUCUUCUCAUAAUGGUUCAGCAACAUACUUUAUCUUCUUAUUUACCGUUUUAUAUCUCGUCUCUACAGUGACUUCGGGUGCAUGAAAAGAUUUAAGCAUGGUAUAAACCUCUCUCGAAUGAAUCUCAACAAUCUUAUCAUUAUCCCCUAACCCAAUAGAUGUAAUCAAUUCCAAUGAAUCUUCCAGUCCAUUUUCUUCAUAAACACCCAAAAUCCUCUCAUCAUCUUGCAAUGUACCUAUCUUGCGUAAGUGUCCUUCAAUAUUAUAUAAUCUUUUUCUUUCUUUUCUUUUAAAAUCAUUAACUUUCUUAUACAUAAUAUUUCCAUUCUCCAAUAUACCAAUAAAACUCACAUCAAAGGCACCUUCAUCUCGCGAGAGUACCUCCUCUUUUGUACCUCUAUAAUCUCGCUUUACAGUGGUACCUCUCUAAAAUCCUUAAAUCCUUCAACAAUCUUUGGCAAUGGUUUCUCCCUCAACCUAUCUCGAUUCCGUUCAUGGUUAGGAGGUACUGUUAGAAAUUGUACAGCUUUCCUCCCAUCUUCGCUCCGUACCCUUGCAUAAGCAGAACCAUCGUCAAGUACUUUUGUUUCCAUCCGUGUUGCCGUGAUAUAAGGUUGUCCUAAAAUCAACGGAUAAGACGUUGUAUCUUGAACGAAGAAAUGUUGCUCCGUCACAACAUCCCCAAUCCGAAUUUUGACAUCUGGACAAGUUCCAUAUAAUUCGCCCCGUGUGUUAUUAGCUGCUCGUAUUGCCCAUCCAUGUUCCAUAUCAAUUGGCCAUUUUUGCUUCUUAUAAAGAUCUUUAGACAUGAGAUUUAUUUCAGAACCAUGGUUGACUAAAGCAACUAUUGGUUCUUCUAUAUCUCCUACCUUCAUCAAUACCUCAGUAGUUGCCCUUGCCCAAUGCUUUCGAGUAUAAUGGCUCAAAGUUUUCAUUUCCUUGUCACUAGAAUCUUCGAAAUGUACUCGCUGAUUAUACCCAUUCUUUUCAUUUGUUGGUUGCUUGUAACCAAUAUCAACCUCUUCUUCAUCUCUACAUAUUCUUGCAUCAAUGGCAUGACUCAUUCCAGUUUCGCCCAUUAAUUGCCUCUUUCGCUUAAUGCUGUCAAUGAUAACAUCAUGAAACUCCUUAUUUGCAAUUUCCAAGACUUCUUUCAAUGUGAAUUCCACCUUAGCGUUUAAUAUACGUUCUUCCAACAUCCCUUUCAAAUUUGUUGCCGCUUCAAUGUCAGAAAGUAGCUUAUAAGCAAUUGAUUUGCCCUUAUCUUUUGUCUUCGUUGUUUUUUCUCCCAAUGAUGCUGAGGUAUUCUUUACAGACAAUUCUUGUGAAGCUGCCUCCCGAGCCUUGUCUCCUCGAGUUUGUCUCUUAAAAGAAUUUCCUUCUCUAAUAUCAUCAAAAUUUCCUCGUCUCUUUUCUUCCAUCAAAGCUUCAUGUUGGCUCUUAGCAAUAUAUGCAUGAACUGAAAGAGACUCAACAGGAUCCUCCCAACCUGUUCUACCUCAUAUUGUAGCUGCAGUUCUCAAUAACGCUUCUCGAGGUAAUUUCCCUUCUUGCAUUGUAGAAACGGCAGAAGUCCAAAACUCACUAGUUUCCGUACUUCCACCAAUUUCAUCAUCUACUCUAGCACCAUAACUUGCACUUUCUCGUACUACUGUUUCAUGCUCUUUUAAGUAAUCUUGAACCAAUGCUCUCAUUCUUCCCUUGCCAAAAUUGGUUUGAAGAAGAUCCUCCCUAUCUUUCAAUACUAUCUUCCCAUCUUUCCAGCAAAUAAUUCCCUGCCGUAUCAUAUUAUUAAAUUCAUUGCAAUCUUUUCUAGUGUGUGAAGCAUCAUCACACCAAAUGCAUCUUUGUACAUAUCCUUGUUUUGAAACAUUCUUCGAAUUGUUUAUAGAAGUAUUCUCUUCAAGUCUUGCUAAUUUGAUUUGAAGAUCUCGCAUUCCUCGUAUAAUUUCUUCCAUACCCAUAUCUGCUUUCUUUGACAAGGAUGUCGAAGGUUGAAUUGUAGGCAUUGUUGGUGGUGUUGUACGUACUGGAGCUUUGGGUGCUUGUACUGUUUUCGGAAUAUUGCUCCUAUCCUUCCUCCUUUCUUUUUUUGUAAGCAACCCCACCGCAUCUUCAACGUUCUUCCACUUCGUUGUCAAUCCUUCAUCUUCUUCUUUGUCUUCAAGAAGGGGUUCUAAUUUCUCUUGCAAUUCUCCAUCAGCAGCUUGAAGAAAUAGAUCAACUUUGUUCGGCUCCAAUGUCAAUUUUUCUACCUUCGAUAAUUGAGAGUACUGCCUUUCAAAUUCCCUUAGUAGCUCUGUUGCUUGCAAAUUCUUAUUGGGCCGUUCAAUCCAUCCCAGAAACAGCUUCUUAGUAACGCGAUCAGCAUCUUCCAAGAAAUAUUCGUCUUUCAAUGCAUGUGAAAAAUCCUCCCAUGAAUUCCCAUAACGAUCCGUAAUCGAUGUAAUGUGGUCCCUUAUCUCCGGUAUCGUGGCAAGUCUAAAUAGUGCAACCAUUUUCUUCUCAGAAACCCGAUUUAAUUCCAUUUCACGAACAUAACAUCUUAAAUACCUUGAAAUAUUCCUCCCAUCAAAUUGAUCAAUUUUAUUGACCACUGCUUGCAAUGCUUUGGUUGCCAAAGCUUCCUUUCGUUCAUUGUUUUGCUGUUGUUGCAUUGACAAUGAGAAGGCUUGAAACAAACUAGCAAUAGAUGGAUCGAUGUGCAUACCUUGUUUUUUAGAAGACUCCCCACCAGAAACUUCUCCCAAAAAUCCUUCAAAAUUUUUAUUUUCGUUUUCCAUAAAAAUAAAGAUAAAGUCAACCGAAAUCCAAUACCUUCUACCUCAAGCUUUCACGUCGGGUUCAUCACUUAUGUCGUAUUACGUGCUUUCCUGCUUGAGAAUGCGCCGGGCAUCUGGCUGUAGAAGGUAGUAUGGAGAUUCGCCGAUAGUCAAGCAGUCUAUCAGUUUUUGACUGCUGGAAUAUAAACGACUGCAACAAUGUACCAUAAAUCUAUACGAGUGCUCUUCGACUGCUUGUCGAAGUCCUUUUUGCCCCAGCCGGUAGGUCUCUAGACGUUACAGAGAACCCCGUACAACCCAAACUGUUAACCUUCAAUACUGCUUUGUACUUACGAUCUUGUAUCCACUGACUGUCUUGUUAGAUUAAUCCAAUAAAUUUCAUUCACUCCGCAUACUCAAUCCUAUAGACACCCUUUUAAUCCUUCAAUCACAGACGUAACUCGAUUUCACAAAACAGUCAAGAGUAUUCAAACCCACUUCAUUUAAAAAUCCCGAUUCACCAUUACAACACUGACUUCUACAAUGAUUGCCUCAGUAGUCCACCGUAUUUCUAAAUGCCGCGAACCAAAUCACUUUCAUCUUCUUGCUGCGGAAUCUCUAUACCUUCAUUAAGGUCUUCCAUAUUCAUCUCUGCGUGUCUUCGUUUAAAUAUUUUUACUCGCUUCCCUACAAUUGGUAUUUUCAAUUUUAUACCAUCUAACUCCCGUAAUGAGUAAGUCGCAUUACCAUAAACAGUUGUUACCACAUAUGGUCCAAACCAACGUUUUGAGAAUUUCCGCAAAGUACUAUAUUGAUUAUCCAGACUAUUGUCAUAAACAAGUACCCAGUCACCUUCCUCGAUUGCUUUUGGUCUCAAUCGAUGUUGCUUAUCGAAUCGCGCCUUGUUUUGUAACCUUGCUCUUUUUAACCUUUCCAAUGCUAUCUGGACAUCUUCCGUUUUUUGCUCCAAUUGUCGAAUCCUAAUAGCCAGAAGUUCUUCUCUUGUCAAUCCAUCUUCCCAUGGUAGCAUACUCCAAGUGAGUACCUUUUUCUUCAAUCGACAUAAUUGGUUUUUGACCUGUCAUAAGUUCUACUGGCAUAUAUCCUGUCACCGAACUAUGUGUUGUUCAAUCAGCCCAUAAUACAAAUGACAAUAGCCGUGGACACUCUUUAACUUUCCCAUUACAAGCUUUAACCAAUGCUUUCACAAUCGACGGGUGACCGCGUUUGCUUUUUGCAUUCCCUUCCGGAUUAUAAGCAGUAGUCAGUGAUAGUUUAACUCCACAUCUUUCAAAGAACUUACGAGCUUCUUGUGCAUUUAAUUCUCUACGAUCUGCAGUGAUUUUUCCUACGCACCCGUAACGGCAAAUGACAUCUUCAAGCAAAAACCUACAAAUCCCCUCUGUAGAUUUUGUCCUCAAUGCUCUUCCUUCUACUUGAUUUGAUAAAUCUUCACGAGCUAAGAUCAAAUAUCUCAUCUGCCAUAACCCAACUGGCAUAAUAACCAAAUCAACAACCCAUUUAAAAUGAAUAGCCAGAGGAUACGUAGGAUGAAGACCAUCUCGAUGUCGGAUAUUAGAAUACGAUUGACAGAUUUUACAUGACUCUACAAAUGAGAGCACAUCUUGAUACAUANNNNNNNNNNNNNNNNNNNNNNNNNNNNNNNNNNNNNNNNNNNNNNNNNNNNNNNNNNNNNNNNNNNNNNNNNNNNNNNNNNNNNNNNNNNNNNNNNNNNNNNNNNNNNNNNNNNNNNNNNNNNNNNNNNNNNNNNNNNNNNNNNNNNNNNNNNNNNNNNNNNNNNNNNNNNNNNNNNNNNNNNNNNNNNNNNNNNNNNNNNNNNNNNNNNNNNNNNNNNNNNNNNNNNNNNNNNNNNNNNNNNNNNNNNNNNNNNNNNNNNNNNNNNNNNNNNNNNNNNNNNNNNNNNNNNNNNNNNNNNNNNNNNNNNNNNNNNNNNNNNNNNNNNNNNNNNNNNNNNNNNNNNNNNNNNNNNNNNNNNNNNNNNNNNNNNNNNNNNNNNNNNNNNNNNNNNNNNNNNNNNNNNNNNNNNNNNNNNNNNNNNNNNNNNNNNNNNNNNNNNNNNNNNNNNNNNNNNNNNNNNNNNNNNNNNNNNNNNNNNNNNNNNNNNNNNNNNNNNNNNNNNNNNNNNNNNNNNNNNNNNNNNNNNNNNNNNNNNNNNNNNNNNNNNNNNNNNNNNNNNNNNNNNNNNNNNNNNNNNNNNNNNNNNNNNNNNNNNNNNNNNNNNNNNNNNNNNNNNNNNNNNNNNNNNNNNNNNNNNNNNNNNNNNNNNNNNNNNNNNNNNNNNNNNNNNNNNNNNNNNNNNNNNNNNNNNNNNNNNNNNNNNNNNNNNNNNNNNNNNNNNNNNNNNNNNNNNNNNNNNNNNNNNNNNNNNNNNNNNNNNNNNNNNNNNNNNNNNNNNNNNNNNNNNNNNNNNNNNNNNNNNNNNNNNNNNNNNNNNNNNNNNNNNNNNNNNNNNNNNNNNNNNNNNNNNNNNNNNNNNNNNNNNNNNNNNNNNNNNNNNNNNNNNNNNNNNNNNNNNNNNNNNNNNNNNNNNNNNNNNNNNNNNNNNNNNNNNNNNNNNNNNNNNNNNNNNNNNNNNNNNNNNNNNNNNNNNNNNNNNNNNNNNNNNNNNNNNNNNNNNNNNNNNNNNNNNNNNNNNNNNNNNNNNNNNNNNNNNNNNNNNNNNNNNNNNNNNNNNNNNNNNNNNNNNNNNNNNNNNNNNNNNNNNNNNNNNNNNNNNNNNNNNNNNNNNNNNNNNNNNNNNNNNNNNNNNNNNNNNNNNNNNNNNNNNNNNNNNNNNNNNNNNNNNNNNNNNNNNNNNNNNNNNNNNNNNNNNNNNNNNNNNNNNNNNNNNNNNNNNNNNNNNNNNNNNNNNNNNNNNNNNNNNNNNNNNNNNNNNNNNNNNNNNNNNNNNNNNNNNNNNNNNNNNNNNNNNNNNNNNNNNNNNNNNNNNNNNNNNNNNNNNNNNNNNNNNNNNNNNNNNNNNNNNNNNNNNNNNNNNNNNNNNNNNNNNNNNNNNNNNNNNNNNNNNNNNNNNNNNNNNNNNNNNNNNNNNNNNNNNNNNNNNNNNNNNNNNNNNNNNNNNNNNNNNNNNNNNNNNNNNNNNNNNNNNNNNNNNNNNNNNNNNNNNNNNNNNNNNNNNNNNNNNNNNNNNNNNNNNNNNNNNNNNNNNNNNNNNNNNNNNNNNNNNNNNNNNNNNNNNNNNNNNNNNNNNNNNNNNNNNNNNNNNNNNNNNNNNNNNNNNNNNNNNNNNNNNNNNNNNNNNNNNNNNNNNNNNNNNNNNNNNNNNNNNNNNNNNNNNNNNNNNNNNNNNNNNNNNNNNNNNNNNNNNNNNNNNNNNNNNNNNNNNNNNNNNNNNNNNNNNNNNNNNNNNNNNNNNNNNNNNNNNNNNNNNNNNNNNNNNNNNNNNNNNNNNNNNNNNNNNNNNNNNNNNNNNNNNNNNNNNNNNNNNNNNNNNNNNNNNNNNNNNNNNNNNNNNNNNNNNNNNNNNNNNNNNNNNNNNNNNNNNNNNNNNNNNNNNNNNNNNNNNNNNNNNNNNNNNNNNNNNNNNNNNNNNNNNNNNNNNNNNNNNNNNNNNNNNNNNNNNNNNNNNNNNNNNNNNNNNNNNNNNNNNNNNNNNNNNNNNNNNNNNNNNNNNNNNNNNNNNNNNNNNNNNNNNNNNNNNNNNNNNNNNNNNNNNNNNNNNNNNNNNNNNNNNNNNNNNNNNNNNNNNNNNNNNNNNNNNNNNNNNNNNNNNNNNNNNNNNNNNNNNNNNNNNNNNNNNNNNNNNNNNNNNNNNNNNNNNNNNNNNNNNNNNNNNNNNNNNNNNNNNNNNNNNNNNNNNNNNNNNNNNNNNNNNNNNNNNNNNNNNNNNNNNNNNNNNNNNNNNNNNNNNNNNNNNNNNNNNNNNNNNNNNNNNNNNNNNNNNNNNNNNNNNNNNNNNNNNNNNNNNNNNNNNNNNNNNNNNNNNNNNNNNNNNNNNNNNNNNNNNNNNNNNNNNNNNNNNNNNNNNNNNNNNNNNNNNNNNNNNNNNNNNNNNNNNNNNNNNNNNNNNNNNNNNNNNNNNNNNNNNNNNNNNNNNNNNNNNNNNNNNNNNNNNNNNNNNNNNNNNNNNNNNNNNNNNNNNNNNNNNNNNNNNNNNNNNNNNNNNNNNNNNNNNNNNNNNNNNNNNNNNNNNNNNNNNNNNNNNNNNNNNNNNNNNNNNNNNNNNNNNNNNNNNNNNNNNNNNNNNNNNNNNNNNNNNNNNNNNNNNNNNNNNNNNNNNNNNNNNNNNNNNNNNNNNNNNNNNNNNNNNNNNNNNNNNNNNNNNNNNNNNNNNNNNNNNNNNNNNNNNNNNNNNNNNNNNNNNNNNNNNNNNNNNNNNNNNNNNNNNNNNNNNNNNNNNNNNNNNNNNNNNNNNNNNNNNNNNNNNNNNNNNNNNNNNNNNNNNNNNNNNNNNNNNNNNNNNNNNNNNNNNNNNNNNNNNNNNNNNNNNNNNNNNNNNNNNNNNNNNNNNNNNNNNNNNNNNNNNNNNNNNNNNNNNNNNNNNNNNNNNNNNNNNNNNNNNNNNNNNNNNNNNNNNNNNNNNNNNNNNNNNNNNNNNNNNNNNNNNNNNNNNNNNNNNNNNNNNNNNNNNNNNNNNNNNNNNNNNNNNNNNNNNNNNNNNNNNNNNNNNNNNNNNNNNNNNNNNNNNNNNNNNNNNNNNNNNNNNNNNNNNNNNNNNNNNNNNNNNNNNNNNNNNNNNNNNNNNNNNNNNNNNNNNNNNNNNNNNNNNNNNNNNNNNNNNNNNNNNNNNNNNNNNNNNNNNNNNNNNNNNNNNNNNNNNNNNNNNNNNNNNNNNNNNNNNNNNNNNNNNNNNNNNNNNNNNNNNNNNNNNNNNNNNNNNNNNNNNNNNNNNNNNNNNNNNNNNNNNNNNNNNNNNNNNNNNNNNNNNNNNNNNNNNNNNNNNNNNNNNNNNNNNNNNNNNNNNNNNNNNNNNNNNNNNNNNNNNNNNNNNNNNNNNNNNNNNNNNNNNNNNNNNNNNNNNNNNNNNNNNNNNNNNNNNNNNNNNNNNNNNNNNNNNNNNNNNNNNNNNNNNNNNNNNNNNNNNNNNNNNNNNNNNNNNNNNNNNNNNNNNNNNNNNNNNNNNNNNNNNNNNNNNNNNNNNNNNNNNNNNNNNNNNNNNNNNNNNNNNNNNNNNNNNNNNNNNNNNNNNNNNNNNNNNNNNNNNNNNNNNNNNNNNNNNNNNNNNNNNNNNNNNNNNNNNNNNNNNNNNNNNNNNNNNNNNNNNNNNNNNNNNNNNNNNNNNNNNNNNNNNNNNNNNNNNNNNNNNNNNNNNNNNNNNNNNNNNNNNNNNNNNNNNNNNNNNNNNNNNNNNNNNNNNNNNNNNNNNNNNNNNNNNNNNNNNNNNNNNNNNNNNNNNNNNNNNNNNNNNNNNNNNNNNNNNNNNNNNNNNNNNNNNNNNNNNNNNNNNNNNNNNNNNNNNNNNNNNNNNNNNNNNNNNNNNNNNNNNNNNNNNNNNNNNNNNNNNNNNNNNNNNNNNNNNNNNNNNNNNNNNNNNNNNNNNNNNNNNNNNNNNNNNNNNNNNNNNNNNNNNNNNNNNNNNNNNNNNNNNNNNNNNNNNNNNNNNNNNNNNNNNNNNNNNNNNNNNNNNNNNNNNNNNNNNNNNNNNNNNNNNNNNNNNNNNNNNNNNNNNNNNNNNNNNNNNNNNNNNNNNNNNNNNNNNNNNNNNNNNNNNNNNNNNNNNNNNNNNNNNNNNNNNNNNNNNNNNNNNNNNNNNNNNNNNNGUUCUUCACUUCGUUGUAAUCCUUCAUCUUCUUCUUUGUCUUCAGAAGGGGUUCUAAUUUCUCUUGCAAUUCUCCAUCAGCAGCUUGAAGAAAUAGAUCAACUUUGUUCGGCUCCAAUGUCAAUUUUUCUACCUUCGAUAAUUGAGAGUACUGCCUUUCAAAUUCCCUUAGUAGCUCUGUUGCUUGCAAAUUCUUAUUGGGCCGUUCAAUCCAUCCCAGAAACAGCUUCUUAGUAACGCGAUCAGCAUCUUCCAAGAAAUAUUCGUCUUUCAAUGCAUGUGAAAAAUCCUCCCAUGAAUUCCCAUAACGAUCCGUAAUCGAUGUAAUGUGGUCCCUUAUCUCCGGUAUCGUGGCAAGUCUAAAUAGUGCAACCAUUUUCUUCUCAGAAACCCGAUUUAAUUCCAUUUCACGAACAUAACAUCUUAAAUACCUUGAAAUAUUCCUCCCAUCAAAUUGAUCAAUUUUAUUGACCACUGCUUGCAAUGCUUUGGUUGCCAAAGCUUCCUUUCGUUCAUUGUUUUGCUGUUGUUGCAUUGACAAUGAGAAGGCUUGAAACAAACUAGCAAUAGAUGGAUCGAUGUGCAUACCUUGUUUUUUAGAAGACUCCCCACCAGAAACUUCUCCCAAAAAUCCUUCAAAAUUUUUAUUUUCGUUUUCCAUAAAAAUAAAGAUAAAGUCAACCGAAAUCCAAUACCUUCUACCUCAAGCUUUCACGUCGGGUUCAUCACUUAUGUCGUAUUACGUGCUUUCCUGCUUGAGAAUGCGCCGGGCAUCUGGCUGUAGAAGGUAGUAUGGAGAUUCGCCGAUAGUCAAGCAGUCUAUCAGUUUUUGACUGCUGGAAUAUAAACGACUGCAACAAUGUACCAUAAAUCUAUACGAGUGCUCUUCGACUGCUUGUCGAAGUCCUUUUUGCCCCAGCCGGUAGGUCUCUAGACGUUACAGAGAACCCCGUACAACCCAAACUGUUAACCUUCAAUACUGCUUUGUACUUACGAUCUUGUAUCCACUGACUGUCUUGUUAGAUUAAUCCAAUAAAUUUCAUUCACUCCGCAUACUCAAUCCUAUAGACACCCUUUUAAUCCUUCAAUCACAGACGUAACUCGAUUUCACAAAACAGUCAAGAGUAUUCAAACCCACUUCAUUUAAAAAUCCCGAUUCACCAUUACAACACUGACUUCAGCAGCGAUUGCCUCAGUCUUUCCCAAAACUCUACGAAGAAGAAAAAUCCAAAUCUUAUGUCUUUCCUUCCCCGACCCGAAGCAUGAAGCUCCUCUCUCUAAUUCCCUUGAUCUUCCAAAAACCUCCAAUGAAAAAUCCAACUGGUAACCUUCCAAAAGCUUGAAAACUCGCUCCCCCCUCGAUUUCCCCUCAAAAAAAAAUCCCCCUCAAAACUAUAUCCCACCUAACCUUAUCCUCUGAACUUCUUCAAUCUUCCGUCUUAGAUCCGGAAUUGGCUCCCACCUCAAGCUUGGAUCCGAAAUUGGCUCUCGCCGCCAAGCUUUCUCCUCCGUUUUUACCUUUAAGAAAUCCAUUUACCGAAAACAACGUUCACUGAGAUGGCACAGAGAACAGGACAGCCUGAAACAGAAUCGAACCCCGUAAUCGGGACCACAUUGAGUCGCCCGACCAAUUCAGGUCCUAUAUUGGUAAAGAUACCCGUAGUAACCUGGAUGUUCCCGUAAUUGGGUCAAAUUGGUCCUCGCGUCAGAUUGGCUAAGACCCGUAGUAAGACCUGGAUUUCCCGUAACUGGGUCAAAUUGGUCCUUCUCUUCCUGCUGACUCCCAUUAUUAGAAUCGAACGGGGCAUUUCAGUAUGCCCCGGCUGACUGUAACGGAGUCACUGAACCUGACCACUCAGUAUUUGUACUGGAGUUGGUCGAUGUUCCCAAUAUUCGAGGUAACUGAAUAUUAAUAAAAUUCCCCUUUCUUUUUAUUUUCACUGUAUACUCGUGUUACAACACGACAGCGUUUACAGAUUAGAAAGAGUUAACAACAAAUCCUUCACAUCAUCCCUUAAAUCCCAAUAGAAUUGACUUAUCAAUGCUUCUUCAUCCCAAUUGAUGUCGCAUGCUAAUUCCCUGAAGUCCAAUGCAUAGAUUGAUGUAAAGCGCAUCCCUUGUCGUAGUGAUCGGAUCUUUGUUGUAGCCCAUCGAACCUUGUUGUGUUCACCAAAUGCUUCUGCAAAUGCCUCCAAAAAGGUUUCAAAGUUAUUUAGUAUGGACGAUCGUUUUUCAAACAAAGGAGCAAACCAUGAUAGAGCUUGCCCUGAAAGUAAGGUUCCAACAAGUCCAACAUGCGACUCCUCCGUUGGAUUGCAUUCGGGCUGUAAAAUUGUUAUCAAUCUCAUUUAGUUGAUGAAUCCUCGAAACUUGGAAUGCAUACCAUCGAACUUGUCCGGAAGGCUAACUCGGGGCUCUUUAUGUUGUAGAACCAGCGGUGCUUGUCGAAACUGAGGCAAAUUUGCUUCUCCCAGUGCAGAAGUUUGAGGUUGGUGCAACCUAGAUAGUGCCAUCCCAGUUGCUCCAUCAUUAUGAAGCCAUCAUCUAAGUACUAUGUCCCUAACAACUAUAAAGUCAAACUAGUCCCAUUGAGGGAAGAUGGAAUUUUUUCAACAUUUUUAUUUAUAAGUCCAAGAAAACUUUGAUUGAUAUGCAAAGAUCUAAGUCUAAGUUCCUUCUUAAUUGCAACUACAAAUUAACUUCUUAAGAUUGUGUGGCAUAAUCAAUAAGAUAAUCAAUAUUUCUAUUAGCAAUAUACUUUAAGUUCUUCUCUUCCAUGACUCAUCUUAGAUGGUUGCCAGGUAUGAACACAAUGAAUAGCUCCAAUAAUUAGUUAUAAUCACUUUUGUAAUUUUUAAUAUAUAUUUAUUAAUUUUAAUACUAAAAUAAUUAACUAAUGAAUCCAAAUUAGUUUUUUAAUGAAUGAUGAUUUUUAUUUUUAUUUUUUGAUUAAUAAUUAGAUAGAUACUUCUAAUUAUUUGAUUGAUUGAUUAUCAAAAAUUCUAAAUAUAAUAAAUUUAGAAGAUUUAUGAUUUUUUUUAUUUGAUUUAAAUUUUUUUUAAUACUAAAAGUAAUAUUUUAAAAGAAAUUUUCUUUUAAUUUCAAGGAAUUAUAUCUUAAAUUAAUCCACAAUCUUAAUAUUCAAUCUAAGGCUAAUCUCUAAUUUGACAAUGGUAAGAAAUCUCUCAAAUCUAAUUGUUCUUUCUAAUUAAUUUUAAUAUUUUAAAAAUUAAAUUCUAUUUUUUAAUUUAAAAUAAAUAAAAAAUAAAAUUUUUAAUAUUAAAUUAAUAAUGAUCUUUAAAAUAUUGUGAUAAGCUAUUCUUUGUGGUAGAAUUUCUUCUCUUGGUGAUUUUAAUCACUAUCUGAAGUUAAAAAAAAACAAAAAAUAAAAUCAAAAAUCAAAAUCAAAGCGUAUUAAUUUAAGACCAAAUCACAAUUGGGAUUUUGAUUUGCCAGGAGUUCAUGCCUAAGAGAGUUUAAAUUGAAGAAUGAUAAUCAUAAUAGCCUUGAUGGUAACAAUCCUUAUUGAUCUCUUAAAUAAAUUAAUUAGAAUUAAAAUUAUAAUUAAAGUUUACAACUAGAUUAAAAAAUCAAUGGAUUUUAAUACUUUAGAAUUUCGAUUUGGGCAUGUGAAUAGUCAAUUUUAGAAUUAAAAUAUAUUUUGGAUAUAUUGGUGGUAUUAAUUUUGUCAAGAAGGCAUUAGUUUUUGAGUUAUAGGCACUUUUAGCCUUGAAAUCGGAUAUAGGCUUAGGAUUAUCAUUGAAAUACUUGUUAAGACGAAAAAUGCUAUGUUAUAAGUCCAAGAGUAAUUGAGGGAGGUAAAGGUUGCAAUUCAUCAACAUAAUUUAUUCCACAAGAAGGAACUAGAUUAAUAGAAAGUGAAGACAUAUGGAUGAUUGGAUGUGUUUGAACAUCUAUAUCAAAUCAUACUAUUAUUCUUAUAGUAGAAUAUUUUUUAUGCAUCAAAAAAUAAAUCAUUACCUUGGAUGGUUUUUGGAAAAAAAAUAAAACUUCAAGGAUAUAUCUAUAUGAUUUAACUUGCUAUUAAACUUCAACUAUAAAGCUACUUAACUCUAGGAUCAUCUAUGAAAAUAAUAUAGAAUUCAAGAGACCCUCAAUUUUAUAAACAUAAUAUUAUUUUUCAAAAUCUAAUCCAAUUAAGAAUAUCACUAACUUUGAAAAACUUCCAAAAAUUGAAUAUUAACUUCAUUGACAUAAACCAAUGCUUAGAAAUCUCUCUACAAGUUUGUUCUCAAAUCUUUUCCUUUGAUCUUCCAAAAAAUCUAAGAAUAUUCGUAGGUAUGUAAAUUUGUGCCUCAGGGCUGAUUUCGACCUAAGUUGAUAAUUGAUUCUCCAAGGAUCAAAAUUUAGUAAUUUGAGGUAAUUUUUGCUUGAACCUAUUCUUAAUUUCCAUCUAAAUAUGUCUUUAUUUAUAUUAUUUACUUUGAUUUGAGGCAUUUAUGCCUCUAUAGAGCAAAUAGAAGCUUUUUUCUAAAAUAUAACAUUAAGACUGAACUUUUUAUUACCUUUUGAUUAUUUAUCCUUAUUUUUCUACCACAACUUCUUACUAGGCUUUUCUAGAAUAACAUCCAUAUUUUUAUUUUUCACUACACACUUGUAUUAUUAUACAAAAAUCAGUGAAGAUAUUCAAACAAAGACAAAUAGAAUUAAAUAUAAAAGACCUUGUUGACGACAUAAAUUCUCAAUAUCUAUUGCUUAUACUAUUGAUCUUGCUUAAGAUUUUAUACACCACUUAACAACUAAGUUGGCAAUAAGCAUACAAAAUUUGAAGAUCAAACUUACCAAAUAGAAGAUCAAUCCUAAAUUCCACUUGAGUAUUGGCAAGCCUCCUACUCCAAUCUAAAUGUAAAACUUCUAGCACCAAUAUCUCCUCUUUGAACUAUUAAAUUGCUUCCAAAAUUCACCUAUAUUAUUAAAAAUCAAGUCUUAUUUCUAUAUAAAAAAAAUUACUUCAAUCUAAUUGACAAAUCGCUAAAGAUCUUAAAAAUACUCAAUGACCCUCAAACUCCAAUUCUUGAGAUGUCAAUCCACAAAAACCUUCACACUUUGAUCUAACUUUUUGAUUGACUUCAAAAUUUGCACACACAUUUAUAAUUAGUAUACCAACACUUAAUCCAAAAUUAACCUAUAUAUAUACCACAAAAUUCAAGAAAUCCUUAAUUGUAUAAAAAUAAUUUUAUUUCUCAAAAUCUAAACCAAUUAAAAAUAUUAUUAACUUUGAAAAUCCUCCAAAAUUGAAUAUUAAUUGAUUUAAAUAAAUACAAUGCUUAAAAUUUUCUUUACAAGUCUGCCCUCAUAUUCUACUCUUCAAUGUACCAAAGAAUCCCAAAAUUGCUACAAGUAAGUGGUUUUGUCCCUUGAGGUAUGAUUUCAAUCCAUGUUGACAACCAAUCACCUUCGGUAUCAAUAUUUGCUGGUUUAAAGUAAUUUUGAUUUAGAUCUAUUAAUAACUCUCUCUUAAAUAUUUCUAUAUCAAUUGCUUAUUUCAUUUAUUUUGAUUUGAGGAAGUUAUGCUCUUAUAUAGAAAAUCAAAGUACUUUCUCUAAAAGGCAGUAUUAACAAUAAACUUUUCAUUACCUUCCUAUCAAUUAUCUUUAUGUUUCUACUACAUCUUCUUACUAUACUCUUCUUUAAUACCAUCCAUGUUUUCAAUUUUUUCCAUAUAGUCGUAUUAAUGCAUAACAAUGUUUCAAGCAAUGAAUGCUAAGAGGGACUCGUUCAAAAAAGCCACCAAAAAAUGAAAGCUAUAACUAAACCUCCCUAAAUGAAGUGGCUUUAAUUCCUCUCACAAGUUAAUUAAAUUAAAUUUCUUAAGUUGAAUGAUAGAUUACCAUGCAUUUUUUUUUUUUUUCUUUUUUUUUUUUUGUCCAAAAAUCUAAUUGAUUUGUUUCUAAAAUGAUUAAAUAAUAUUAAAAUUUAAAUAUCAAUAAUUAAGACAAGGAUAAAAGCUAAAAAUUAAGUUGAAUAUGAAAUAACAUAAGAAUUAAAUGUUAAAAGUAAAAAAUAAAAUUGAAGUUAAAAAUUAAGUUGAAAAUAAAAAAUUAAAAUCAACAUAAAUAGUUAAAUUGGAAAUCAAAUAAUAUAAAGGUUAAAAGUUGAAAAUAAAAAGGUAAAUUUAAAAUUAAAAGUGAAGAAAAAACUGAAUAACAUAAGAAUAAAAAUUGAAGGUAGAAAGGUAAUUAAAAGGUAUAAAUUUAACAAAUAAUUACUAAGACAAGAUAAAAGGUUCAAUUAAUGUAAUACUAAUUAAAGAUAAUAAGAUGAGUGAAGAGUUCAUUUGGGAAACUCAUGCAUUAUAAAGUAUAAUUAUGAGGUGAUUAGGGAAGAAAAGCUUACCUUCAUCAUGCUGAAUUGAGGCAACAAUUCCUUACAAAUUGAAAAUCUGUCAAAAUCUUCUUUAGCUUCUAUAUGUGUGAGUUUUUAUUUUUUAUUUUUUAUUUUUUUUUCUGAACCUUCACUUAGAUGAGCUCCUAUCCCCCAAUUUUUGCAAUAUUCCAGUAUGCGAUGGUUGAAGUGUGAUUUUUCAAAGUUGGACUCUCAAAUCUACCAAGGCAGCUAAAAUUUGCAUUUAAAAAUUCACUAAUAAUUCAUAAAAGCGUCAAAAAUUCCAACUUAAAUUUUCUUUGGAACUAGACCUUAAGAUGCCUCUAUUACAACAGUUUUCACAAAAAGAUCUCUAACAAGAACUACGCUAUGAAAUUCUAAGCUAACUCUAUUACAUUGCCCUUUGUACCAUCCAACUGCAAAUUCUUUCUUACUCAAAAAUUUACUUAAAAUUUAUUAAAGCUUCAAAAUUUCCAAUUUAAUUUUUUCUAGAAACUAAACUUCAGAGCACAAAAAGCAUAGAAAAUCACUUGGGAAGCAAGAUAGAAAUCACCAAGUGAUGGUUUUUAUUGAAGUUGGCAAUUUCAUGUAGCCAAGGCAAUGCACCCUUCUUCACUUGAAAAUUCGCCAAUAAUUCAUUAAAGCUCCAAAUAAUAUAUACUUGGUAUCUUUGAAAAGUUAGUAACUAGAAGAAGAUGGUUACAAAAAUUGAAGCAACUAGGAGGUGGAAAUCCAAGUGGUUAUAAAAUGGAGAGAGUUUUGAAUGGAUUAGAAGCAAGGAAGAGAGAAAGAAAUUGGCAUAGCUUCGCUCUAAAGAAAAAAAUGAGAGAGAGAGAGUGGUUGUUCAAUGCUACUUUAAUCCAAUGGAAGGAAGCUCCUAAGUAGUAACCACAUGUCUAUCAUCCAGAUCCAAAAUUCCUAAUCAAGAUCAAUUGUAGAUGAAGUUCAUCUAUAAUCAAUGUAAAUUCUAGCUAUAAGUAAAGAGUGUUGGAAUUGAGAGUUGUCUUAAUCCACACUUCACUUUAUAUGCAACCUUGCUGAUGCUAAGUGUUGUGGCUUUUUACUUCUCUUACUUCAAUAGGUUAUGGUCCCAUUUACAUUUGCUUGUGAGUUUUGAAGUUGUAUGAAUUCUUUGUUGUUGUAUGGAGUAGAUCAUGUUGUUCUUGCUGGUGUUAGGAUUUAGAAUCUCUUAAUUUUUAGAUUUAGAUCUAGAUCUAGACCUUGGUUUGCUUUUAUUUAUUGUUGAGAGUAUUUUGAAUUUGGAAUAUAUUUUAUACCUCAAGGUAAUAUCAUAGAACACUUGUAAUAUGUUUUCUUGCUAAAUUAUAUCUUUGAUGGAUUAACUUUGUAGUUUCAUGCAUUGAAGAAGCUUAAGGUACUUAAAGGACCUUUUAUGGUACUUAGAAGUGAUUUGUGAGCAUAAAAGUAAAAUAAGAGUUACAAAUCUGGUUUAAGAUGUUUAUACAAUUCAUUGGACUUAUGAAAAGCCUUAGAAGUGAAGUUAAAAGUGUUUGAAAGUGAAAACACUAGUUUAUUCACAAAGAGGGUAUUUUGAGAUUUUAAAGUAACAAUACCUUCUUAUUGAUUUGGAGAGCUUUAGGACUAUUUUUUUUAAUCAGUUUAGAUACAUCUCUCCUUUUGACAUGGCUUUAAGUAAGGAUGAAGACUUGAAAGCAAUUGAAAAAUUUAGAGGUAAAAAUUUCUACCAUUGGAAGGUCAAAAUAGAGCUUUUGUUGGCUUUUUUGGAUCUAUAGGAUAUUAUAAAUGAAAGUGAAGAGCCUCCAAGCAUGCAUGCUGAUCCAAAAUAGUAGAACGACUACAAACGUUGUGAAAAGAAGGCCUUUGGAUUGAUUGCAUGCAAUAUUGAUGAAGCCAACUUCUCCCACAUUAUCUCUUGCAAAGAACUAGCAAAAGUAUGGAAGACUCUUUGCAACAUCUAUGAGAGCAAGAACUCAUCUAAAAUCAUCUAUACAAGGAGGAAGUUCUUCACAUGUAAGAUGGAAGAUAGUGAAGACCUCAUGGCAUACAUCAACAAGGUGAAGGCACUUGCAAAUCAACUUGUAAUUAUUGACAAGCCCUUAAAGGAGGCAGAUGUUAUCAUGACUCUAUUUAUGAGCUUACCAAAAUCCUACAACUAUCUUAUUGUCACUUUAGAAUUCACAAUGGACUAUGUAACAACAAGAAUUAGCCAUGAAGUUACCAAGAAGAAAGAAAAAGAGCCUCAAAGUGAGGAUUUAGCACUCUACUCACAACAAGGCAAGGCCAACUAUUCAAACCAACAAGGUAAUAUCAAUACUUACUUGAUUUGUAGUAAAGUAGAAUAUUUUGCUCGAGAUUGCUACAAAGGCAAAAAGAUAAAAAAAGAAGAAUGCAAAUAGUAUAUAAGAUGAGUUUGGAAGACAAGAUUAUGCAUUUAUAACAACAAAUAGGACCUCUAUGGCUGCCAUGUCAAGCUGGAUUGUGGACUCAGAUUGUUCCAAGUAUAUAACACCUUAUUGUCACGGCUAUAAUCAAGUAAGCUAAUAAUUACAUAUAGAAAUAGGUAGAAGUAAAUAAAAGUAGAUAAAAAUAAGUUAAUUCUAUAAUAUUUAAUAUGGAAGCUUUUUAGAAACUUCCUAGACGCUGCUUUGACUUCAUAGGUGUCUUUAAUUGACUUUUUGGAUUAGAAACGUGGUCAACAAGUUGGCCAUGUGCCACACAUGUUGUUAGCUUGAAGAUCUAGCUAACUAUGUGGCCCACACGUAGAAAAACUUGCCUUGUAAGUCAAAGCAUGUAUCUUACAAAGUCAACACAUAUUGGAGGUCCUAUAGAACAUCGCCACGUAGUCCCUAGUUAGAUAGUAUAUAUAGAGACAAGAGGGAAGGCUUCUUCACUCUUGUCAACUCCUUUCUUGCUUCUUGUCUAGUUUCAAGGGUCUCUAGUUUUCUUGUCUAUUGGCAAUAGCCAGUCAAGUUUCUCUUUCAAUAUACAUACUUAUUUAUUUAUAUUUUGUUACCUUUCUUUGAGUGAGGGUUCACUUAUCUGAAUUACUUUUUCAUCGAGUUCUUGUCCUUGACAAAUUGACAAGAGUACACCUACAAUAUCAGAGCUUUGUCUAAUCUUGAUUAAGAGUGGAUUACCCCUUUUUCUUGAUAAGAUAUAAGCAUGUUAGAAGUUGCGGAUUACCCUCUUCUAAAGUGAUAUUGUCAUUAGUAUUUUCUUUAUUCUCAAGUCCUCUCUUCUAUUUGUCUUGAGCGAUAUUAAACAUCUUCUCUCUUCUAAGUGUUAUUAUGGCAAAACUUGUUGAAAUGAAGAGUACAAUGGCACAAAUACAAGAGCAAGUGAGGAAAUUAAUGCUUGCAAUGGAUCAAUUCAAUUUACCACCACAAAGAGCAACAAGAUUGGCAAGAAGUGAAGAUAUAGAAAUGGUUAGAGCUGCUUCAACAUCUGCACCAAACCAUGUCCUUUCUCCUAUAGUGGAACACCCUUCAAAUGUUAGAGAACCAAUAAUUGCCCUACCCGAGAAGUUUGAUGGCACCAGAUCCAAGUUUCAAAGAUUUAUCAAUCAAGUGCAACUUGUGAUUGAACUUCAAUCCCAAAGCUAUGCAACUCCAAGAUCACAAGUUAGAUUCAUUGGUAUGCUUCUUUCAGGUUCAGCACUAUCGUGAUUAUCAUCUUUUCUUGAAUGACGAGAUCCAAUAUUGGAUAAUCUAGAGGCUUUUUUGACGGAGUUUCGAUCCAUGUAUGAAAAACAUGAUGCAAUUCGUGUUGCAACCAAUAAGAUCCGUAUUUUACGACAAGGCAAUCGAUCAGUAUCGUUAUAUACUUUAUAAUUUUGACAACUUGCAACUGAUAUCAAGUGGAAUGAUGCUACAAUUAUUAGCCAAUUUCUCUACGGAUUACAAUAUGAGGUAAAAAAAUUAAUGCUCAACUUACCUGAUCCUCAAACAUUGAGUCAAGCAAUUGACUUUGCUGUGAAGUGCGACAAUCGCUUUUUUGAAUUCCGAUCUGAGAACCGUACAAGUGGGCCUCAACGUUACUAUAAUUCAAUCGCAACACCAACACCUCUUCAACACAUACAUUCAAAAGUAGAGGUUAUGCAAAUUGAUGCAGUACGUUUCAAACCUCUUACUGAGCAAGAAAAGACUCGUCGUCGUCAAAAAAGAUUAUGUUUAUAUUAUAGAGAACCAAAGCACACUGUUCAACAUUGUCCAAAGAAAUGACGCAAUCACAAAAUGAGGAGUAUGGCUGUGAAAGAAGAUAAUAUGUCAGAAAACAAGUUUGUCCAGCUACAAUAGGGACCGUGCGGCAAGAACCUUGCACAACAUCUAGUAAAGGUCCUAUUUUCUCCUCAGAGCCCUCUCCUUGUUUUACAUUAAAUGUUAUUUUAGGACCUAAACAUUACAAAGUCUCUGCCUUGUUAGAUUCAUGAGCCUCAGCGUGUUUUUUAGAUGAAGAAUUUACUAAAAGAUAUAGCAUAUCUUUAGUAAAGAAAACUAAACCUGUUCAUGUAGAAGUCAUAGAUGGUCAUCUAUUGUCUUCUAGAGAUAUUACUCACGAAACCCUUCCUACAGAAGUAAUAAUCAAUGGUCAUAAUAGUUUUGUAGUAUUUAAUAUCAUUAGAUCUCCGUCUAAUCCAGUCAUUUUAGGUUUAUCGUGGUUAAAAAAAUACAACCCUCAAAUAGACUAGAUUUCUCGAACUCUCACUUUCUCUAAAAAUAUAACUAACAAUGUAGUUAAGCAAGUAGAGAGUCAUAAGUCUAGUUCAAUUAAAUCCGUAUUUAUAGGUACAAAAGCUUUCUUACAUGCUGCUAUGAAAGAAUUAUCAUACAUUAUUUAUGCUACAUCCGUUCCUACUGGUGAAAAGACUUCAAGUGGCAUUCCAAGCCAAUAUCAAGAAUUUCAAGAUGUAUUUGAGAAAAAGAAUGCGGAUACACUCCCGGAACAUCGUCUCUAUGAUUGCUCAAUUGACCUUCAAGAAGGAGCACAACCGCCAUUCGGACCAAUCUACAAUUUAUCACAAAAUGAAUUCGCUGAAUUCAAGGAGUAUAUUGAAGAAAAUCUAGCCAAGAAUUUCAUACGCCAUUCUAAAUCUCCGCCAGGAGCUCCAAUUCUAUUUGUGAAGAAAAAAGAUGGAUCAUUGCGGAUGUGUGUUGAUUAUUGAGGACUCAACAAGAUUACCAUCAAAAACAGGUAUCCACUACCUUUAAUAUCUGGAGUUCUUGAUCAGUUGAAUCAAGCUAAGAUCUAUACAAAAAUAGAUCUUCGGGGAGCAUACAAUCUAGUACGCAUCAAAGAAGGAGAUGAAUGGAAGACUGCAUUUCGAACUAGGUAUGGGCAUUUUGAAUACAACAUCAUGCCUUUAAGAUUUACAAAUGUACCAGUAGCUUUUCAAAAUCUAAUGAAUGAUGUUUUUUGAGAGUUUUUGGACGAUUUUGUGGUCUAUUAUCUAGACGACAUCUUGAUCUAUUCUAAGAAUCCAGAAGAACAUGAACUUCAUGUUCGUCAUGUAUUACAAAAAUUAAGAAAUGCAGGACUCUAUGCCAAGAUAGAAAAGUGUGUAUUCCACACUACUCAAGUCGAUUUCUUUGGUUACAUCAUUUCAAAUGAUGGACUUAUGAUGGAUCCUAAGAAAGUUCAAACUAUUAUAGACUGGAAGAUCCCAAAAACGAUAAGAGAUGUCUAAUGUUUUUUGGAAUUUGCCAACUACUAUCGGAUCUUCAUCAAAGACUUCUGUCGAGUUGCAGCUCCACUUACACGUUUGACUUGUAAAGACAAACUCCAAUGGAAUUAAGAAGCAAAAGUUACUUUUGAAUCUUUGAAGACAUCGUUUGUUUAUGCACCAAUCUUGUAUUGUGUUAAUUUUUUCAAAGCAUUCUUUACGGAAACAGAUGCAUCGGACUUUGCUCUAGGUGCAAUUUUAUCACAAAUGGGAACAGAUGACAAACUUCAUCCAGUAGCCUUUCAUUCAAGAAAAUUCUCAGCAGCAGAAAUCAAUUAUGAGAUCAAUGACAAAGAACUUCUUGCAAUUGUGGAUUCUUUUUAAGAAUGGCAUCAUUAUCUAGAAGGCGCUUCUAGUCCAGUCACCGUAUAUACGGAUCACAAGAACCUCAAAUAUUUUAUGUCAGCACGUGUAUUAAAUCGUCGCCAAGCUCGUUGGAGCAUGUCUUUAUCAAGAUUCGAGUUCAUCAUCACUUAUCGGCCAGGAAAACAACAAGGUUUAUCCGAUGCCUUAUUUAGACGCUCUUAUCUUGUACCAAAAGAAGCAGAUGCAGCUUUUGAGCAAUAAAGAACAGUUCUUUUGGAGCCGGAAUAAUUUCUUCUUCGAGCAAUAAAAUCAACAUUGACUGUUGAUUUAACUUUUCUUAAGCAAGUCUAGUUAAGUAUGUCUUCAAACCCUCUUGUUCAUGAUAUCAAGAACAAUUCUUCUAAAUCUCAUGAUCCAUCUAAAUUUGAAUUCAAGAACAACCUACUCUAUUUCGAAGGACGCCUAUAUAUUCAAGAAGGAGAAGCACAUUUACGUGCUCUUCAAGCACGUCACGACUUUCCAGCAGCACGACAUUUUGGAUAAAAUAAGACUUUGGAGCUGAUAUCUAGGGAUUUUUGGUGGCCUCAAAUGUGAAAGGCAGUUAAAGAUUUUGUACAAUCAUGUGAUGUUUGCUCAAGAUCAAAAACUCCUCGUCAUCGACCUUUUGGACUUCUUCAGCCAUUACCCAUUCCAAAACAAUCAUGGUCUUCUAUUUCUAUGGACUUCAUCAUAGAUCUUCCAAUCUCAGGUUUUUAUGACUCUAUAUUCGUGAAAGUAGAUCGUUUUACCAAGAUGGCACAUUUUGUAACAUGUACGAAAUCUAUCACAAGUGAAAAAAUAGCUAAGUCAAAUUUUGGAGGACUCUUUUCAAGAUUCUUAAAGUGGAUAUAAAACUAUCUUUGGCUUUUCAUCCUCAAACUGAUGGACAAACGGAGCGUGUUAAUCAAGUUUUGGAGCAAUAUUUAAGAUGUACCAUUAAUUACCAACAAGAUGAUUGGACAACUUUUUUGCCAUUGGCAGAGUUUGCUUACAAUAAUACGGUACACUCUUCUACAAAACAAACACCUUUCUUUGCUAAUUAUGGUUAUCAUCCACGACUUGAUACUUUUGACUUUUCAAAAGUUGAUAAUCCUGCUACGAAAGAUUUGGCAGUUCAUUUAUGAGAGCUACAUGCAACGAUGAAGGUGCAGUUAAAAGAGGCUCAAGAACAACAAAUGGCCAAUGCGGAUGUCUAUCGAAAGGAACAACCAUCAUUCGUCUUGGGUGAUAAAGUAUGGCUACUUUGUAGCAAUAUCAAGACCACUCGUCUUUGUGACAAGUUGGACUAUUGAAGGCUGGGACCAUUUUCUAUUUCUGCACAAAUCAAUCCAGUUACAUAUCAUUUACAUCUACCGGAGUCAAUGAAAAUCCAUCUAGUAUUCCACGUGUCUUUUCUUAAACCAUACAAGACAGUGGACAUACCAAGAAGAUGACAAACUCCACCUCCUCCUAUAGAAGUGGACAAUAAUGAAGAGUUUGAAGUAGAAGAAGUCUUAGAUUCAAGGCGACGCUGAAAUAGAUUAGAAUAUCUUGUCCAUUGGCGCGGAUAUGGUAUUAGUGAACGCACAUGGGAGCCAAUAAAGAAUCUUACAAAUGCAUCAAAGGCGGUGGAGGCUUUUCAUCGACGACAUCCAUCAAAAUCAAGAUGAAAACCUUCUUUAUAAAAGAAACAACAUCUAGGCAAGUUAACUUUCUACUUUCAAUUCUUGUUCAUAGCUUCGUUGUAAUAGUGGCGCUCAGGAGAUGGAGAACCAACAACCAGUGGAUUCAACUCAAGAGCCUUCAUUUGCUGACCUACCAGACGAGACGUUAUGAUUGUCACAACCUUCAAGACGACGCAAUCGAGAUGAAGAUCUUCAAGAACGAUAUUUUUUUCCUCGAAUAGAUGGCGAGAUACAACGCGUUUGGUAUCACAAUUUGGGAAGGGACUCCUGAUGUUUGGUGAUUGUGCUAGAAGUAGGAACAACUCCUGAUGGUGUUCCAAAUAUUCUAUUCGAAGGAAGUUACGAAGGCCUCAACAAUGAUCAAAUAACUUGGUGGUCUUCCCGCCCUGGUAUGGGACACUACCGAUUUUUGAGAGGCCCUAUCAAUCAUCUUCGAAGAGAACAGAGAUCAGAGUAUGUGGCGAAUACAAUUCGUCACAUCAUAGAUUUUCUCAACAUAUGAUGACCGCUCCUCAUGGAACUCGUCCCUAGAAGGGGGGAGUAAUGUCACGGCCAUAAUCAUGUAAGCUAAUAAUUACAUAUAGAAAUAGGUAGAAGUAAGUAAAAGUAGAUAAAAGUAAAUUAAUUCUAUAAUAUUUAAUAUGGAAGCUUCCUAGAAACUUCUUAGAUGUUGCUUUGACUUCAUAGGUGUCUUUAAUUGACUUUUUGGAUUAGAAACGUGGUCAACAAGUUGGCCAUGUGCCACACAUGUUGUUAGCUUGAAGAUCAAGCUAACUAUAAGGCCCACACAUAGAAAAACUUGCCUUGUAAGUCAAGGAAUGUGUCCUACAAAGUCAACACAUAUAGGAGGUCCUAUAGAACAUCGCCACGUAGCCCUUAGUUAGAUAGUAUAUAUAGAGACAAGAGGGAAGGCUUCUUCACUCUUGUCAACUCCUUUCUUGCUUCUAGUCUAGUUUCAAGAGUCUCUAGUUUUCUUGUCUUUUGGCAUUAGCCAUUCCAGUUUCUCUUUCAAUAUACAUACUUAUUUAUUUAUAUUUUGUUAUCUUUCUUUGAGUGAGGGUUCACUUGUCUGAAUUACUUUUUCAUCCAGUUCUUGUCCUUGACACUUAUAAGUAUUCAUUUGACACUUAAGAGGCUAUUUCAGCAUCAAAUGCAAUUUUGGAGGAUACUAAUAUAUGUAAAGCCAUUGGAAUUGGUUCUAUUAUGGUGGACAUAGUUGGCCAAAAAAAUAUAUGGCCUUUAUAAAAUGAUGUUGUACAAAAGUCCAAUUCUACAAUCUUAUUUAGUAUUAGAGAAAUUGAUUCUCUAAAAUUUAAUGUUGAACUAGAAUUCUUUUUUUGGUUUUUUGAAUCCAUCUCAAUUUAAUAACAGUUUAGUGCAAUAUAUAGAAGAUUCCUCUAAUACAAGCUAAAUCCUUUAAUACAAUGUUUAGUUUUGUUUUGUGUUGUAGAUAAUAAAUGAAAACACCAUCAAUCAAAAAAUAACUAGAAUAUUUAAAUUAAUAUCAUAAUCAUACUUACAAAGGGUUCCAAAAUAAAGAAAAAAAAAAGAAUCCUAUGUAUAAAAAUAUAAAAUAUGAAUGCUAAUUGUAUUCUAAAGUUUUAUAAAUUAAAAUAGAAAUUUUACUUUUAAAAGCAUGUCAACUAAAAUUUUAGAAAAUUAUUUAAAAAUAGAAUUUAUAAAACUUCUCAAAUUUUGUAAAACUUAUGAUACAAAAAUUUAUAGUUUAAUACCAUUUUGCAAUCCAUGUAUAUCAAAUGUAUUUAUUCUAUGCAUAGGUACAAAAAAUGUAAUAAAAAUUAUUUUAUGAAAAAUAAAAGCAUUAUUUUUGUAUUUAAAAUUACACAUCUUAAAGUUUUUAGUUUAAUUGAUAGAAAAUAUAUUGCAAAUAAAAUAGAUCAUACACCAAAUAAUGGUUGUAUUAUUACAUAUAUUUGUAGAAGUCACAAGACGCCAUUGUAAUUUUUGUUUCUAAACUUUGAUAUUGUAAAAUUCAAGUUGACCUUCUUAAAGCAAUUGUAAUUACUUAAAUAUUGUUUUGGAUAAAUUUGUAACAUGUACAUUAUAAAAUUUUAUAAUUUAGUUCUAUAAUAAAGAAAAAAGACUACACCUAUAAUAUAGAAUUAUUCUUCUAUAUUAUUUAAUCCAAUAUUAAAAAAAAAUGAUGAAUACCAUGUCAUGAAAAUAAAAAACCGAAAAUAAUAAUUUAAAAAAAAAUGUAUUUUAUUAGUAGUGGUAAGGGUUUAAAGAAUUCAAAAACAAUCCUUGAUGUUGAAAAAUAUCAAUAAAAAAAAUUUAAAAAAAAUAAGUAAAUUGCAUAAUAAAAUUUGGUAGAUAAAAGGGGGGUGAGGAGUAGGAUGCAUGAAACGAAGAUGGUGGAGGAGCCCGGCAUGGAGUGGGAGAUGGCCCGCACAAACGAAGGAACGAAGGAACGAAGGAACGAACGAGGGAACGAAUGAACGAAGAAAGGGGCCGUGGCCUGGAGGUAAGGUGAGGUGAGGAGAGGCCGCGUGGUGCGGCGUGGUGGUGAGGUAGCUGCACGGCAGUCGAGGAGGAUACUUACUUACUACCUGGGGGUGGGGUCGGUGCGGGAAGAAGAAGAAGAAGAAGAAGAAGAAGAAGACCGCAUUGUGGUAUGUGUGGUGUGAAAACGGCUUCGCUCAUCCGGGUCCCAGGAGGGGCCGUGAGUCGUCCGCUGAUCGGCAGUCGUUGUAGUAUAGUGGUAAGUAUUCCCGCCUGUCACGCGGGUGACCCGGGUUCGAUCCCCGGCAGCGGCGCGGCGGCGACCGCAGCUAACAGGCUAGCACCGGUGGUCUAGUGGUAGAAUAGUACCCUGCCACGGUACAGACCCGGGUUCGAUUCCCGGCCGGUGCACUGCUUUUGUUCAUCCACGCCCUUCUUUUCCAUCUCCUUUUUCCUUCUCCUUUUUCCUUCUCCAUCUCCUUCUUUCUCCUCGCCCACCCACCUCCACGGCGCGCACGCAUCAAGUUCUCGUCACCCCGCUUUUCCACCACACCACUUUCUCUCGCCUCACCCCAUUCCUUCGUCUUCUCACCCAAGCUCCAAUCAUAUCUCCAAUAAUAUCCCUUCACUCUUCCACACAUCCACCUCACAUUACAAACAUCUUCCACCCCCCUCAUUUUCAUCAUCUUGGUUCUAAAACAAAUCCAAGAACAACGUAAAAAAAUAUACUUGUUUGACCAAACUUGCAAGCAACAAUAAGAACAACAUGAAUCAAACAUCAUAACAAUGUUGAAAUUGCUCCUAAAAUAUAUACGUUUUUUCUCCAUAAUAAUUGUAGCAAUUAAAGUAGAUCAAAUAAUAUUUAAAUUUCCAUGUCCAAAGUUUAAUGGUUUAAUCAUAUUAUUCAUCAACAAUUGUUGAAAGAAUUGAUGUUGAUGUCGUAGUAUUAGAUUUGUUGAAUUUGUAUUCUUGACGUAAUAUAAAAUUUUAUUAAAUUCUUGCAAAUAUAAUUUUCUAUUGCUUUUCCAUAAAUCUUUUUAAUAAUAAUGUGGCAACCAAUAGUAUAAAAUUAAAUACUCCUAUAAAUAGAAAUAUUUUACUUAUUUGCAAAAUUAGAGAGGGAAAUACCUUUAACAAUUGGCAAUCCAUUUUAUUAGUUGAGACAUCAUUACAUUCAUGACAAGAUACUUUAAAACAAAAUUAAAAAUUAAAAAUUAAAAUAAAAAUAAAAAAUCAAUAUCAAAGAAGGUUUCAUCCAUUAAAAUACAAGAUACAUGAUAAAUUUGUGACUUCAAAAAGUAUAAAUUAGAUUAUUUCUAUUAGCUAUUUUUUUAAAAAAUAAAUAAAUCAAAUACAUAUAUUAAAAUAAUAUAUAAAAUUAGGCUUGUAUAACCAAUUUAUUAGGAUAACCAAAAUUAUUCUUUAUAAGUAUAGAAGAAUAAGAAACAAAGCAAAGGUUCAUAGACAUAUUUAAUUAUCUAGAUAAGAAUAGUUAGGUAUCAAGGACAUGAAUCUCAAAGAAAGAAAUCCUCAAUACACUCUUGCGACAUUGAAAAGAACUAAAAAGCCACUCAAAGAUGAUAUAUUAUUGAACUAGAAUGACAAUUGUCAAAAACAAGGACAUUAGAAAGUCUUGAAACAAGACUAAGGACUAGAAAGAUGUUGACAAGAGUGAUGAAGGCUUCACUCUUACCUCCAUAUAUACUCUUAACUAGGAGCUACAUAGCGAUGUCCUGUAAGACCUCCAAAACAUGUUAACUUUGCAAGACACGUAUCUUAACUUGUAAGGCAGGUUUUUUAUAUGUGCGCUACAUAAUUAGUUUGCUCCGCAAGCUAUUAACAUGUGGUUAACUUAUUGACCAAGUUUUUAGCCUAUCAAUCAACUACAAAAUACAUAUUAAAUCAAAGCAACAUCUAUAAAGCUUUUAAGAAGCUUCUUUAGAAGGUAUUAUGAAAUUAAUCCAUUUUUAUCUACUUUUACCUACUUCUCUCAAUCAUAUAAGUAUUUAUUAGAAUACAUAUGUAUAUCCGUGACAUUACUCGCAUUGUAGGAACAAGUUCUAUGAAAAGCGAUCUUCAUAUGUUGAAAAAAUCCAAGAUGCGGUGAAUUAUAUUUGCUCCAUACUCUGAUCUUUGUUCUCUUUGAAGAUGGUUGAUAGGUCUUUUCAACCAUCCAUAGUAUCCUAUACUAUGAUGAGAAGACCACCCUCUUAUUUGGUUGUUACUGAGGCCUUUGUAACUUCCUUCAAAUACAACAUUUGGAACACUGUCAAGAGUUGUUCCUACCUCUAAUAAAAUCACCAAACAUCAAGAGUCUCUUUCAAGGUUGUGAUACCAAAUACGUUAUAUCUCACCAUCUAUUUGAGGAAGGAUAUAUCAUUCUUGAAGAUCUUCAUUUCAAUUUUGUCGUCUAGAAGAUUGUGACAAUUGCAAUGUCUUGUUUGAUAAGUCCGCAAAUAAAAGCUCUUGAGUUGAAUCUAUUGGCUAUUGGUUUUCCGUUUCUUUAGUAUCACAAAUACAUAGAAGCUACAAAGAGGGAUAGAAGGUAGAGUAUUAUCUUUCUUUGAUCUUGUCUCUUUUAUAGCAAAGAUUUGCUAUUCUUUAACUUGGUUUUGAUUGAUGGAACAAUCAUAAGGACAAUGCUCUGGAAGAAUAUCUACAUUAUUUUUUAAAGAAAUAUCUUAGAAAUGUUGAUAUUGGCUAGGGAUAUUACUUCAUGUCUUCUCACUAUCAAAAAUAGGCAUGGUAUAUAAAACAAAAGAAAUUCCUUUUUUUUGCAACAUGUGUAAAAGCUCUGGCACCUAUUAAUAAAGAUUUGGUUCUAUUAAACUUAUGUAUUUUUACUUAACUAAUGGAAUUUUAGAUUAAACUAUCAAAAAAAUUAAGGUUACAAAAAGUCUAAUCUAUUUGAGGAUUAUAUUAUUCUAACCAAGAUAAUCCUAAAAUAAUCAAAUUAAACAAAGCUCUUAUUAUAUUAAAUAUUACUAUGCUAUUAUGAUCUUUAAUUGAUACAUCUAAUGAAAGAGUGUCAUAUGUAACAUCUCCAAAAAAUAGCAAACAAUCAUCUAUCACUUUCUACAUGUAUAAGAUUAGUUCUUUUAACUAAUGAUAUUUCUUAUUUUUUGAUAAAAUCUUUGUUUAUAAAAUAGGCUAAUGCUCUUGAAUCUAAUAAAGCUAAGAAUUUGUGAUUUUUCGGUCCUAAAUAAAUUUCUAUUACAAAAUAAGGUGAGAGAUCUUAUGAGAGAAUAGGACCUUUAGUAGGAGUUAUACAAGAUUCCAGUUGAACAAUCUCUAUUGUAGUUGAAAAAACUUGUUUUUUGAUAUAUUGUCUUCUUUGGUAACCAUGCUUCUCAUUUUGUGGUUGCAUUGUUUCUUUGGAAAAUAUUGAGUAGUAUAUUGAGCUUCUCCAUAAUAUAAGCAUUAAUCCUUUUCUCAUUGUCAAAUAUUUUUCUACUUUGUGAGGGAUUUAAAGUGUACUAUAUCAAUUUGCAUUGGUUUUGGCCUCAAUGAAUGAAUUUUCGAAAACCUAGGAGCUAUUGUUAUUAUUUGAUUUUUUUCUCUUCAGCUAAGUCUUUGUUCUUGAUAUCUUUCAAAUAAUUGAUUGUCACAUGCAAUAGCUUGAGCAAUUAAUUUUUUCAAAGAUUCUGCCUUUGGCAUUGUCAGUGAUAAAUGUUUGACAUUAUUCUUCAAUCCAUAUCAAUGUUGAUUGAUAAGAGCUUUGUCAUUCUUAUCCACGUCACAAGUUUGGCUUUGGAAUUCAAUAGCAUAUAUAGUUGUUGACCAUGAUACUUAUCGUAAAGAUAAGAGCUUGGUCUCUGCUAUUCUUUUUCAAUCACUUUUUUAAAAUAUAUUUGUCAAUACUUUUAAGAAUGAAUUCAAAUCAUAAAAGAGUCGCAAAUCCUUUUCUAUUAAAUGUACAAAUCAAGAAAGAGUACUUCUUAAUAAAAGUGUGCCUAUGAAUCUAACUUGAGUAAUUCCAUCAAAAUAUUAGAAGAAAUGCAAUCUUAGAUAGAGCUUGAUUUGUUCCAAAGAACUUGGAAAUUUUGAUCUUGUUCCAUUAAACUUCUCAAUCAUACUAAUUCUUCUCUCCGUUGUUGUGUUGCAACACGAUUAUAUGGUAAAAAUAUAAAUAGAAAAGAUUUAUUAGUGUUUAUUCAUCUUGGAUGUUAGAAAUAGUGGCCAAUUCCAAUGCCAAUAUUCAAGGGUCAGUUAAUGUCACCCUAUUGCUGCUGUAUCAUCGAACGAGAUAACAGAGUAUGCUCCACUAUUAUCAUCGAACUAAGUACCUCUGUACCAACGGGACGACCAGAAUCAUUUUUUAAUCUUACAUGAAAUAAGCCUAGUAAGUAUAUAGUGGUAGAGACACCCAAUAUGCUUGAUGGAGGUGCAAGAAGAUCACAUCGUUGUUUUUGGUAUAGACAGAAUGGUGAUUAUGCUACUGAAUGUCCCAAUCCUAGAGCCAUUGACAAUUAUGCGCCAGUGUGUGGGAAUAGCAAGCAGUCGGGGCAUACUUAUCAACAAUAUAAUAUUCCGUUUAAUUUUUAUAAUUGAGAUGAGCAGAUCCAUAGUUUGAGAAAAAUUGAGGGAAUAAAUCGAGGUCCUCAAGAUUCUUCGGUAAUUUGGAUAGAAUGAGUCCGAGCCAUUCUUACUAAGAGUCGACAAAAUUCAAUAUUCGGGUGAGUCUAAUGUGAUAGACUAAUUUGAUCCAAUUAUGAGGACAUCCAAUCUAGGUCUUAUUAUGGGCCUCUUGUCGAGUAUGAGACCGAACUUGGUUGGACAAUCCAAUGAAGUCUUGAAUACAGAGGCUUCAGUUCCAUUUCAAGUUGUUCCGUUCUCUAUAUUGUUUUGCAGAAACGUCUUUUCUAUAUAACGAUCCUCUUAGAAGCAAGAUUUUCAUGAAAGUAGGUCUGUUGUUGCAAUUAAGAGUCGAAGGCGGAAGAAUAGGGGACCUCACGGAGUAAAACGAAAAGAAAAGAAAAAGAAGAAGGCAUUCUGAGAUCAAGAUUUUGUGGUCGGAGAGCUAGCUUCAAGUUCCUUCGAAAGGUAUAGAAUUGGAUGUCAUAGGGUUUGGGAGGACUUUUGCAAUCAUUGCUGAAAGUCAGUAUUUGUACUAGUGAUUGGAUUUUCUUUUGCAAUAAAGUUAAGGCUAAUACUCUUGAGUAUUUUGUGAAAUUAGAAAAUCUUUUGCAGUUGAAAUUUAGAAGUGUCUUGAGGAUUGAGUAUGUUGAAUGCAUGCAAAAGUUUGUGUUAAUCUGACAGAACAGAUAGAAGAUAUUUGACUAUUAGUGUAAAGAGGUAUCAAAAGUUAGCAGAUUGUAGUUGUUUAGGGUUUUGUAAUAUCUGGAGAUCUACCAGUUGGAAUUAGGUGACUUUUGGCGUGAUAAGUGGAGACUUCUAGGCAGCAAUCAAGAUAAAUCAGUGUAGAUUUACGGCAUUUUCUUGCAACCUGUAAGUUAGAUUAGAUUAAAACUUCUUGAGCAUUUAGAAGGCUUACAAAGACACUAGUGGUAGAAGUUUACAACAAUCAGAUGGUCAGAUUGAGAAUUACAACUUGCCAAAGCUCGCUGUCUAGGAUUAAAUUUAAAAGUAAAAUAGAAUAAAAUUAAAAUUAAAAUUAAAAAAUUAAAAAAAUAAAAUAAAAUAAAAUAAAAUAAUAAAGAUUAAUAAAUAACAAAAGACUUUGUAAUUAUAAUAUCUUGAAGUUAUUAAAAAUAGUACUUUCAAAUACUUUACAUUGAGAUUAAGCUUUUAUAUUGAAAUCCGAAAUAGUUUGUAUUUAAAUGGUUGAAAUCCACUAGCCUAUCUAGAUACUUGUAAAACAUUGUUUUAUCUUCCAUAGCCAGACGCCCGAUGCAUUUUCAAGUAAGAUAGCACGUAACACGACACCAUUAUAGUUGUAGAAGCAUAAUUCUUUGGAUUUUGAUUUGAGAUCAAUCAAUCUACUUCUUUCAAUUACAUAACUUCUUGCCUCAGACUUUGAACUUCUUCCAUAGGCAUAAGAAUAGUACCUUCAUGAUUUAUAUUGAAAAUAUGUGAAAUUUCUACUCUUAAAGUAUUGAGAAGCUCAUGAAGAUCUAUAAUAGUUGCAAAUCUAUUCUCACUUCUGUUGAGAGUAGCAUCCAUAAUCUUUUCUUCCAUAGACAAUUCAAACAAAUUCAAAAAGUUAAAUGAGAGGAAGGUAAUCCUCAACCUCUAAUAUCAAAUAAAAAUUUCCACAAAGAGAGAUAAUCUACUCUCUUUAAGAAAAAGAUGAGUAUUAAAAAAUAAAAUUAUUUGUUUAAAAGUGAUAAGUCUACAACUUUCAAAAUACAACAAUAGAAGUAGGAUAAUCUACUCACUUCUAAAAUAAGAUAGAAAUAGUAAGUUAGCACUCUUAUCAAAUCAUCAAGGACAUUAAUUACAAAGAAAGAAAUCCUCAAUAUACUCUUAUGACAUUGAAAGAAUUAAAAAGUCACUCAAAGAUAAUAUAUUAUUAAACUAGAAUGACAAUAGUUAAACAUAGAGAAACUAGAAAGUCUUAAAAUAAGACUAAAGACUAGAAAGGUAUUAACAAGAGUAAAGAAGGCUUCACUCUUGCCUCCAUAUAUAUUCUUAACUAGGAGCUAUGUGUCGAUGUCUUGGGGGACCUCCAAAACAUAUUGAUUUUGUAAGACACUUGUGAGUGUAAAUUUUCACUCCUCAACCCAAGUUACAAAAUGGCCUCAAUUAAGAGUUGCUGGUAAUUGAUGGUAUAAAGUGAAGUAGGCAAUUAUAAAGAAAAAAAGAAGAACAACUACAAAGCAAUUGAAACAAAUGACAUGAAGCAAUUACAACACCUAAAAUUAAAUCAUAAUUUGUUCACUUUAUUUUUACCUAAUAAAAAUAUAAAUUGAACAAUAAAUAAUAUCUUUUUAGAUAGGUAAUUUUAUUAUCUUUCCAAUGAUAUAAGAAACAUAUUAAUCCGAAUUAUUAUAAGUAAGUUAUGAGGUUUUGAAGAUAUAUAGUAAAUAAUUGAAAAGUGAAGUAAAAAUAUUUAUCUCAAAGGUAACUUGCUUAUAGAUCAAGGAUUCGAGCCUCACCAAGGCUCACAUGUAGUAUAUAAAGGUGUCUGAGAGAGGCUACGAAGCCUUAGUCUUAUCCUCUUAACUACCCUGAAGGUGCUAUAAUCCACAUGGGACUUGUGCACUCUUCUUUCUAUAAGGACUAUACUAGCUGCUAGUCCUCCUAUUUUCUAUUGGGAGGACCAAAAUUUUUACAACUUUGACCUCACCAUGGUAUUUAAAAAAAUCCAAUUAGCCUCGAAACCUUGUGUGGCCUUCAAUUCUUGCUCCAUUUCUUCAUAAAGCUUCCAAAGUGGUAAAACUCAUUUUUACCAAGAUCUUCAAAAUUGCUCUAAUAUUCCUAAAAAAUUCUAAAUAAAUUCUAAAAAGUUCUAUAAUAUUUUUAUAAUGCUGAUAUCCAUUUAAGGUUACAUUUUUCUACCUUAGAAAUUUUUGAUAAUAAUAUAAAACAAUUUAAAUCUACUAUCAAUCCUAUUAUUUUAUAUCAAUAACUAAAAUGACAUGAUGUUCUUUCUCAUGCUUCUUCUAACUACUAACAUUUAUAUUUUUUAUAAGUAAUAUAUAUAGAUAGAAGACCAAUUUAAAUAUAGAUUUUAAUAAAUUAUCCUUAUUAUUCAAUAAUAAAUAAAAGUACUAAAUCAACAAAGAUAAUUGCCUCUAAGACUUACUAAGACUCCAUUUCCACCACUAAAAAUUUUAUUUUCUAUUUUUUUAAGGAUUUUUAUAUUACUUACUAUAUCAUGUUAUUUAAAGCAUUAUAAAUACAUAUUUUUAUCCUAAAAUAAUAAAUGAGUCAAUUUGAUGACUCAUAAUACGUAUCUUAACUUGCAAGACAAGUUUUCUAUAUGUGCAUCAUAUAGUUAGCUUGCUUGUGCAAGUGUCAUGGACAUAUAUAUAUAAAUCAAUAACUACCUAUACAAUUAGAUAAAAGUAAGUAAAAAUAAAUUAAUUCCAUAAUAUUUUCUAUAGAAGCUUCUUUUAAACUUUAUAGACAUUGCUUUGACUCUAUAGGUGUCUAUAAUUGAUUUUUUAGGUAAGAAAGGUGAUCAAAAAAUUAGCCAUGAGCCACACAUUUUGAUAGCUUGAAAAACAAUCUUAUUAUAUGGCACACAGAUAGAAAACUUACCUUGUAAGUUAAGGCAUGUGUCUUGCAAAGUCAACACAUAUUAGAGGUCUUAUAGGAUGUUGUCACAUAGCUCCUAAUUAGAUAAUAUAUAUAGAGGCAAGAAUAAAGCCCUCUUCAUUCUUGUCAACUUCUUUCUUGCUUUUAGUCUAGUUUCAAGAGUCUUUAGUUUCUUUGUUUUUUAAAAAUAGCCAUUCUAGUUUUUAUUUAAUAUUCAUACUUCUUUCUUUUCAUUUUGUUAUACUUGUUUAUUUACUUUUAUCAAGUUCUUGUCCCUCAUUCAUUAAUAAGAAUAUACUUACAAUGUCAAAUCCUUGUCUUUUCUUGAUUAAGAGUGGAUUAUCUCUUUUCUUUGACAAGUCAUAAGCAUAUUAGAAGUUAUAGAUUACCUUCUUUUAAACUGCUAUUGUUUUUAGUAUCUUCUUUGAUGUUCAAUUCUCUCUUUUAUAUUACUUGAAAAUACUUAGAUAUUUUUUUUAAAGUAUUAUCUUGUUAGAGCUUAUUAAAAUGAAGAAUAUAAUGGUACAAAUGCAAGAGCAAUUGAGGGGGUAGUACUUGUAAUGCAUCAAUUUAAUUUACCACCACAAGAAGACACAAGAAUAAUAAGAAGUAAAGAUAUAGAUAUGAUUGGAGCUACUUCAAUAUUUUUACCAAAUCAUGUCCCUUUUCCUACAGUGGAACAUCCUUUCUAUACUAGAGAACCAAGUAUUGCCUUGCUUGAGAAGUUUGAUGGUACAAGAUCAAAGUUUUGAAGAUUUAUCAAUCAAAUACAACUUGUGAAUGAACUUCAACUCCAAAGCUAUCCAACUCUAGGAUCACAAGUUAGAUUUAUUGAUACACUUCUUUCAGGUUCAGUAUUAUUAUGGUUUUUAUCUUUUCUUCAAUGACGAGAUCCAAUACUUGAUAAUUUAGAGGCUCUCUUGACAAAGUUUUGAUCCAUUUAUAAAGAACAUGAUGCAACUUGUGUUGCAACCAAUAAGAUAUGUAUUUUGCGACAAGACUAUCAGUUUGUAAUAUUAUAUGCUACACAAUUUUGACAACUUGCAACUGAUAUCAAGUAGGAUGAUGCUGCACUUAUUAGCUAAUUUUUUUAUAGAUUAAAAUAUGAGGUAAAGAAAUUGAUGCUUAACUUAUCUGAUCCUCAAACAUUAAGUCAAGUGAUUAACUUUGUUGUGAAGAGUGAUAAUUGACUUUUUAAAUUUUGAUUUGAAAGUCAAACAAGUGGGCUUCAAUGUUUCUUUAAUUAAAUAGCAACACCAAUGCCUCUUCAACAUAUACUUUUGGAAGUAGAUAAUAUGUAAAUUAAUGUGGUACAUUUCAAACUUCUUAUUGAGCAAGAAAAGACUCAUUCCUCUCAAAGACAAGUAUAUAAUAAAGACAAAUAAACAAGUGAGACUUUUUUCAAAGAAAGAUGAUAAAAUAGAAAUAACUUGAUAUGUAUAUUAAAAAAUAAACUCGACUGGCUAUUGCCAAAAGUCAAGAAAAUUAAAGAUCCUUGAAACUAGAUUGGAAGCAAAAAAAGAGUUGACAAGAAAGAAGAAGGCUUCACUCUUGUCUCUAUAUAUACUAUCUUACUAGGGGCUACAUGGCAACGUUCUAUAGGACCUCUAAUUUGUGUUGACUUUGUAGGACACAUGCCUUAACUUACAAGGCAAGUUUUUCUAUGUGUGAGCCACAUAGUUAGCUUGAUCUUCAAACUAACAACAUGUGUCGUACAUGGCCAACUUGUUGACCAUGUUUCUAAUCCCAAAAAGUCAAUUAAAGAUAUCCAUAAAGUCAAAGUAGCAUCUAUGAAGAUUUUAGGAAACAUCUAUAUUAAAUACUAUAGAAUUAACUUAUUUUUAUCUAUUUUUACUUAUUUUUACCUAUUUAUACAUAUAAUUACUGAUUUACAUACAUAUAUCUAUGAUAUAAUCUCCCUUUCUAGGAACAAGUUCCACGAAGAGCGAUCAUCAGAUGCUGAAGAAAUCUAUGAUGCGAAAAAUUAUAUUCGCUAUAUACUCUGUUCUUUGUUCUCUUCAAAAAUCAUUGAUAGAGCCUCUCAACAGUCGGUAGUGUUUUAUACUAAGGCGGAAAGACCACCUACUUAUUUGAUCAUUGUUGAGGCCUUCAUAACUUUCUUUGAAUAAAAUAUUUGGAACACCAUUAGGAGUUGUUCCUUCUUCUAGUAUUAUUACUAAACAUCGGGAGUCUCUUCAAAGGUCGUCAUAUCAAACGCAUUGUAUCUCGCCAUGUAUUUGAGGAAGAACAUGUCAUUUUUAAAGAUCUUUAUCUCAAUUGCAUCGUCUUGAAGGUUGUGACAAUCAUAAUGUCUCAUCUGACAAAUCAGUAAACGAAGGCUAUUGAGUCAAAUCUACUGGUUAUUGGUUUUCCAUCUCCUCAGCGUCACAACUACAAAGAAGCUACAAACAAGGAUUGAAAGUAGAAUGUUAUCUUGCUUAGAUUUUAUUUCUUUUAUAAUUAAGGUUUUCAUCUUGAUUUUAAUGGAUGUCAUCGAUAAAAAGCCUCCACCACCUUUGUUGCAUUUACAAGAUUCUUUAUUGGCUCCCAUGUGCACUCACUAAUAUAAUUUCUACACCAAUGGACAAGAUAUUUCAAUUUAUUCCAGCGUCGCCUUGAAUCUAAGACUUCUUCCACUUCAAACUCUUUACUAUUGUCUACUUCUAUAGGAGGAGGUGGAGCUUGUCUUCUUCUUGGUAUGUCCACAUUCUUCUAUGGUUGAAGAAGAGACACGUGGAAUACUGGAUGAAUUGUCAUUGACUCUGAUAGGUGUAAACGAUAUGCAACAUGUUUGAUUUGUAUAGAAAUAGAAAAUGGUCCAAGCCUUCAAUAGUCCAACUUGUUACAAGGACGAGUGGUCUUGAUAUUACGACGAAGUAACUAUACCUUAUAACCCAUGUAGGAUGGUGGUUGUUCCUUUCAAUAGACAUCCACAUUGAUCUUUUGUUGUUCUUUAGCUUCUUUUAACUACGCCUUUAUCUUUGCAUAUAGCUCUGACAAAUGAGUUCUGAAAUCUUUAGAACUAAGAUUAUCAACUUUUGAAAAGUCAAAAGUAUCAAGUCAUGGAUAAUAAUCAUAAUUGGCAAAGAAAAGUGUUUGUUUUGUAAAAGAAUGUACAGUGUUAUUGUAAGCAAACCCUGCCAAUGGCAAAAGAGUUGUCCAAUCAUCUUGUUGAUAGUUAAUGGUACAUCUUAAAUACUGCUCCAAAACUUAACUAACAUGCUACGUUUAUCCAUCAAUUUGAGGAUGGAAUGUUGAAGAUAGUUUUAAAUCUACUUUUAGAAUCUUGGAAAGAGUUUGCCAAAAUCUUGAUAUAAAUUGAGUUCUCUUAUCUGAUAUAAUAUCCUUGGAUAAUCCAUGAUAGCGAUAGAUAUUGUCAAGAAAGAGCUCAGUUAUUUCUUCACCUGUGAUAGAUUAUGUACAUGAUACAAAAUGUGCCAUCUUCGUAAAACGAUCUACUAUCACGAAAAUAGAGUCAUAAGAACUUGAGAUUCAAAGAUCCAUGAUGAAAUCCAUAGAAAUAGAAGAACAUGGUUGUUCUAGAAUGGAUAAUGGUUAAAAAAGUCCGUAAGGUCGAUGACGAGGAGUUUUUCAUCUUGAGCAAACAUCACAAGAUUGUACAAAAUCUUUGACUGCUUCCCACAUUUGGAGCCACCAAAAGUCUUUAGAUAUUAGUUCCAAAGUUUUAUUGAACCUAAAAUAUCUUGUUGUUGAAAAAUCAUGACAAGCUUGAAGAACACGUAAUCGAGCUUCAUCUUCUAGAAUAUAUAGGCGUCCCUCAAAAUAUAGUAGAUUCUUCUUGAAUUCAAACUUAGAAGUAUCAUGAGACUUUGAAGGAUUUUUCUUAAUAUCACGAAUAAGAGGAUCAGAAGACAUACUUGAUUGAACUUGCUUAAUGAAAGUUGAAUCAACAGUUAGUGUUGAUUUCAUUGCUCAAAGAUGAAGAUGCUCUAGCCUCAAGAGAAUUAUCUGUUGUUGAUCAAAAGAAACAUCUCCUUCCUUUGUUGCAAGAUAAGAUCGUCUAGAGAGUGUAUCUGACAAACCUUGAUGUUUUUUUGGUCGAUAAGUGAUCUUGAAUUUGAUUCUUGACAAAGACAUACUCCAACGGGCUUGGCGAUGAUUCAAAAUACGUACUAACAUAAAAUAUUCAAGGUUCUUGUGAUCUGUAUACACUAUAACUGGGCUAGAAGUACCUUCUAGAUAAUAGUGCCAUUCUUGAAAUGAAUCCACAAUUGGAAGAAGUUGUUUGUCGUGGAUCUCGUAUUUGAUCUCGGUAGCUGAAAAGUUUUUGGAAUGAAAAGCUAUUGGGUGAAAUUUAAUAUUAGUUCCCAUUUUUGAUAAUAUAUCACCUUAAGCAAAGUUUGAUGCAUCUUUUUUCAUAAAAAAUAGCUUAGAAAAAUUGACGCAAUACAAGAUUGGUGCAGAAACAAAGGUUGUCUUCAAAGCUUCAAAUGCUACUUUCACUUCUUGAUUCCUUUGAAGUUUGUCUUUGCAAGUCAAAUGUGUAAGUGGAGCUACAACUUGAGAGAAGUCUUUGAUGAAGAUCCGAUAGUAGUUGGUAAAUUUCAAAAAGCAUUGGACAUCUCUUACCAUUUUUGGAAUCUUCCAAUCUAUAAUAGUUUGAAGUUUCUUAGGAUCCAUCAUAAGUCCAUCAUUUGAAAUGAUGUAUUCUAAGAAGUCAAAUUGAAUAGUGUGAAAUACACACUUUUCUAUCUUGGCAUAGAGUCUUGUAUCUCUUAGUUUUAGUAAUACAUGACAAACAUGAAGUUCAUGUUCUUCUAUGUUCUUAGAAUAAAUUAAGAUAUUGUCUAGGUAACAGAUAAUAAAAUCAUCUAAAAACUCCCAAAAGACAUCAUUCAUUAGAUGUUGGAAUGCUGCUGGUGCAUUUGUAAGUCUAAAAGGCACGACGUUGUAUUCAAAAUGUCCAUACCUUAUUCGAAUCACCAUCUUCCAUUCAUCUCUUAUUUUGAUGUGUACCAAAUUGUAUGCUCCCUGUAGAUCUAUUUUUGUAUAGAUCUUAGCUUGAUUCAACUGAUCAAAAAGUCCUGAUAUAAAAAGUGGCGGAUGCCUAUUUUUGAUAGUGAUUUUGUUGAGUCCUCAACAAUCAACACACAUCCACAAUGAUCCAUUUUUUUUCUUUACAAAUAAAAUUGGAGCUCUUACUAGAGAUUUGGAAUGGUGUAUGAAGUUCUUGGCCAAAUUCUCUUCAAUAUACUUCCUAAAUUCAGCCAAUUCAUUUUGAAUUAAAUUAUAGAUUGGUCCAAAUGGCAGUUGUGCUCCUUCUUGAAGGUCAAUUGAACAAUCAUAGGAACGAUAGUGCGGAAGAGAAUCCGCAUUCUUCUUCUCAAAUACAUCUUGAAAAUCUUGAUUUUGGCUUGAAAUGCCACUUGAAGUCUUUCCACCAGUAGAAAGAAAUGUGGCAUAAAUGACACAAGGUGAUCCUUCUUUUGUAACAUGCAAGAAAGCUCUUACAUCUAUAAAUAUAGGUUUAAUUAUACUAGACUUAUGACUUUCUACUUGAUUAACUAUGCUCUUAAUUAUACUUUCAAAAAAGUCAAGACUAUGAGAAGUCCAAUUUAUUUUAGUAUUAUAUUUUUUUAGCCAUGAUAAACCUAAAAUGACUAGAUUACAAGGAGAUCUAAUGAUAUUAAAUAUUACAAAACUACUAUGACCAUUAGUUGUUAUUUCUAUAGGAAGGAUUUUAUGAGUAACAUCUCCUAAAGACAACGGACGACCAUCUAUGACUUCUACAUGAAUAGGUUUAGUUUUCUUUAUUAAAAAAAUGCUAUGUCUUUUAGCAAAUUUUUCAUUUAAGAAACAUGCUGAGGCUCCUGAAUCUAGCAAAGCAGAGGCUUUGAGAUGUUUAGGUCCUAGAAUAACAUUUAUCGGAAAAAAUGAAGAGGAUUCUCAGGAGAGAAUAGGACCUUCACUAGGUGUAUUACAAGGUUUCAGCCACAUAGUCCUGAUUGUAGCUGGACAAAUUCAUUUUUUGACAUACUAUCUCCUUUGAUCGCCGUACUCCUUAUUUCAUGGUUGCGUCGCUUCUUUAGGCAAUAUUGAGCAGUGUGCUUAGGUUCUCCAUAAUGUAAGUACAAUCUUCUGUGAUGAUGAUGAGUCUUUUCUUGCUCAAUAAGGAGUUUGAAACAUACUGCAUCAAUUUGCAUAUCUUCUACUUCCGAAUGUAUGUGUUGAAGAGAUGUUGGUGUUGCUAUUGAAUUAUAGUUACGUUGAGGUCUACUUGUACGGUUCUUAGAUCAAAAUUUAAAAAGGCAAAUGUAGCACUUCAUAGCAAAGUCAAUUGCUUGACUCAAUGUUUGAAGAUCAAGUAAGUUGAGAAUUAAUUUUUUUAACCUCAUAUUAUAAUUUGUAGAGAAAUUGGCUUAUAAGUGCAGCAUCAUCCCACUUGAAAUCAGUUGCAAGUUGUCAAAAUUGUGAACCAUACAACAUUAUUGAUCGAUUGCCUUAUCGUAAAAUAUGGAUCUUAUUGGUUGCAAUACGAAUUGUAUCAUGUUCUCCAUACAUGGAUCAAAACUCUGCCACAAAAGUCUCUAGAUUAUCCAAUAUUGGAUCUCGUCAUUUAAAAAAAGAUGAAAAAUAUGAUAAUGCUGAAUCUCAAAGAAGUGUACCAAUGAAUCUAACUUACGAUCUUGGAAUUGGAUAGCUUUGGAAUUGAAGUUCAAUUACAAGUUAUACUAGAUUGAUAAAUCUUCUAAACUUUGAUCUGGUGCCAUUAAACUUCUUAGAUAGGACAAUUCUUGGUUCUCUAAUACUAGAAGGGUGUUCCACCAUAGGAGAAGAGACAUGAUUUGGUGCAGAUGUUGAAGCAGCUCAAUCAUUUCUUUAUCUUCACUUCCUGCCAAUCUUGUUGCUCCUUGUGUGGUAAAUUGAAUUGAUGCAUUACAAGUAUUAAUUCCCUCAAUUGCUCUUACAUUUGUGCCAUUACAUUCUUCAUUUCAACAAGUUUUGCCAUGAUAACACUUAGAAAAGAGAAGAUGUCUAAUAUCACUUAAGACAAAUAAAAGAAAAGACUUGAGAACAAAGAAAAUACUAAAGAAAAUAUCAGUUUAGAAGAGGGUAAUCCGCAACUUCUAAUAUGCUUAUGUCUUAUCAAGAAAAAGAAGUAAUCUACUCUUAGUCAAGAUUAGACAAAGAUCUAAUAUUAUAAGUGUACUCUUGUCAAUCUGUGAAGGACAAAAAUAUGAUAAAGACAAAUAAAUAAGUGAGACUUCUCUGAAAAAAAGAUGAUAAAAUAGAAAUAAUUUGAUAUGUAUAUUAAGAAAGAAACUCGAAUGGCUAUUGCCAAAAGCCAAGAAAACUAGAAACCCUUGAAACUAGACUAAAAGCAAGAAAAGAGUUGACAGGAAUGAAGAAAGCUUCACUUUUGUCUCUAUAUAUACUAUCUAACUAAGGGCUACAUGGCGAUGUUCUAUAGGACUUGCAAUAUGUGUUGACUUUGUAGGACACAUGCCUUGACUUACAAGGUAAGUUUAUCUUUGUAUGGGCUACAUAGUUAACUUGGUCUUCAAACUAACAACAUGUGUGGCACAUGGUGAACUUGUUGACUACGUUUUUAAUCCCAACAAGUCAAUUAAAGACACCUAUAAAGUCAAAGCAGCGUCUAUGAAGAGUCUAGAAAGCUUCCAUACCAAAUACUAUAGAAUUAACUUACUUUUAUCUACUUUUAUUUACUUCUACCUAUUUAUACAUAUAAUUACUUGCUUCCAUGCAGAUGUCCGUGAUAAUUGCCAUGAAAAAGGAUUGUACUCAUAUUAUGGAGAAUCUAAGCAUAUUAUUCAACAUUAUCUAAAGAAGUAAUGUAAUUAUAAAAUGAGGAGUACGAAUGUCAAAAAAGAUAAUAUAUUAAAAAAUAAGUUUAUCAAGCUAUAAUAAGGACCAUAUGGCUAGAAUCUUAUAAAAUAUUUAAUAAAGAUUCUAUUCUCUUCUCAAAACUUUUUUUUACUUUAUAUUGAAUAUUAUUUUAGGACCUAAAUAUUACAACGCGUUUGCCUUGUGUCAAGGAUAUGAAUCUCGAAGAAAAAAAAUCCUCAAUAUACUCUUAUGUCAUUGAAAGGAACUAAAAAGUCACUCAAAGAUGAUAUAAUAUUAAACUAGAAUGGCUAUUGCCAUAAGCAAGAAGUUUUGAAAGUCUCGAAAUAAGACUAAGGACUAAAAAGACAUUGAUAAGAAUGAAGAAAGCUUUACUCUUGUCUCUUUAUAUACUCUUAAUUAGGAGCUAUGUGGCAAUGUCCUAUAAGACUUCCAAAAUAUGUUGACUUUGCUAGCCACAUGUUUUAACUUACAAAGCAAGUUAUCUAUGUAUGCACAACAUAGUUGGCUUGUUCCACAAGCUAUUAUAUGGAGUUAACUUAUUCUAUAAGCUACCAAUACAUGGUUAACUUAUUAGCCAAGUUUCUAACCUACAAAUACAUUUAAAGUCAAAACCACAUCUAUGAAGUUUCUAGGAAGCUUCUCUAGAAGACUUUAUGAAAUUAAUCCAUAUUUAUUUACUUCUACCUAAUCAUAUAAGUAACUAUUGGAGUAAAUGUAUGUGUCCAUGACACCUUGUUAGAUUCAAGAGCCUCAGUGUGUUUCUUAGAUGAAGAAUUUGCUAAAAGACUUAGCAUAUCUUUAGUGAAGAAAACUAAACAUGUUCAUAUAGAAGUCAUAGAUAGUUGUCUAUUAUCUUCUAGAGAUGUUAUCCAUAAAAUCUUUUCUAUGGAAGUAAUAAUCAAUAGUCAUAAUAGCUUUGUGGUAUUUAAUAUCAUUAAAUCUCUCUCUAAUCUAAUCAUUUUAAGCUUAUUGUGGUUAAAAAAAUAUAACCCUUAAAUAAAUUGGAUUUCUCUUAUUCUUAAUUUUUUUUAAAAUAUAACUAAGAGUAUUAUUGAUCAAGUAAAAAAUCACAAUUCUAGUACAAUUAAACUUAUGUUUGUAAGUGUAAGAGCUUUCUAACAUGCUAAAAAAAAAGAAUCACCUUAUGUCAUUUAUGCUACAUCCAUUUCUAAUUGUGCAAAGACUUCUAGUGGUAUUCCAAGUCAAUAUCAAGAAUUUCAAGAUAUAUUUGAAAAAAAAAAUAUGGAUUCUCUUCCAAUAUAUCAUUCUUAUAACUGCUCAAUUGGCCUUCAAGAAAGAGUACAAUUGCCAUUUGGACCAAUCUAUAAUUUAUCACAAAAUGAAUUGACUAAACUUAAGGAGUAUAUUGAAGAAAAUCUAAUCAAGAACUUCAUAUACCAUUCCAAAUUUCCAACAAAAUCUCUUAUUCUAUUUGUAAAGAAAAAAAAUAAAACAUUGCGGAUGUAUAUUGAUAAUCAAGGAUUUAAUAAGAUCACCAUCUAGAAUAGGUUUCUACUACUUUUAACAUCUAGACUUUUUGAUCAAUUGAAUCAAACUAAGAUCUAUACAAAAAUGGAUCUACAAGGAGCAUAUAACUUGGUACAUAUUAAAGAAGGAAAUAAAUCAAAGAUUGUAUUUUGAAUGAGAUAUGAAUAUUUUGAAUUAAAUGUCAUGCUUUUUAGACUUACAAAUAUAUCAAAAGCUAUUUAAGAUCUUAUGAAUGAUAUUUUUUGAGAGUUUUUGGACGAUUUUUUUGUUUGAUAUCUAGAUGAAAUCUUGAUCUAUUGUAAGAAUACAAAAGAACAUAAACUAUAUGUACAAUGUGUGUUAUAGAAAUUAGAAUGUAUUGAGAUUUUUACAUAUAAUAUAGCUCAUCAAGUCAACUUUUCAAUUUCACUUUUUGAUAUUUUAAAGCUUCUUUAUAACUCUUUAUAUGCAUAAAAUAAUAAUAAAUACCAAAAAUACACUUUAACUUCAAUCAACCAUAACUUUUUUAUUACUACUCCAAAUUAUAUGUUUUCUUUAUCUCAAUUCUAGGCCAAAAUAUAAGCUCUUCUAAUCUAGCCUUCACACUUUGAAUGGAUCAUCUUUCCUUGAAUGGUCUACCUUGCCUCAAAUAGGUCACCCUAAAGUGGUCCUUAAUUCUAGUAUAAUCUCAAUUAGCAUCUCAAAAUCUAUUUGGUAUGUCUUCUAACUAAAAUAAAUAAAUUCCUUUGUCAUUUAUCUUAUCUAUCCUCAUCAAAAAAUCUAAGAAUCAAAAUACUAUACCUUUGAUUCGUUAGCCCCUCUAAAUUUCUAAUUAAUAAAUUAUAUAACUUCUAUCUUUAAUUAUUAAGCUUAAACUACAAACUUUAACAAAUAAGAUAAAUAUUUUUUUAUUAUUUAUUUUUUUAAUUACAAUCCAAAUUCUCAUAAUAUUUUAUUUUAUUUUAAUAUAUUAUUCUACUUUUCAUGUGAUAAAGAAUUGCUUAAAGAUAUUAUAUCAAAUAAAAAGACUUAAUUUAUAUAAAGAUUUUGGAGAUCCCUUUUCAAGACUUUAAAAGUGGAUGUAAAGCUCUCUUUGGCUUUUCAUUUUCAAACUGAUAGGCAAAUAGAAUAGGUGAAUCAAAUUUUGGAGUAGUAAUUAUGGUGUACCAUCAACUAUCAUUAAGAUGAUAGGACAAUUUUUUUGCCAUUGCUAAAAUUUGUGUAUAAUAAUUUGAUACAUUCUUCCAUUCAAAAAACAUUUUUUUUAUCAAUUAUGGUUAUCAUCUACAACUUGAUACUUUUCACUUUUCAAAAGUUGAUAAUAUUGCAACAAAAGAUUUUACAAAUUAUUUGUUAGAGAUACAUACAAUAAUGUAGGCACAAUUAAAAAAUAAUAGAGAUUAAUAUACAUGCCUAUCAUAAAGAACAAUCAUAAUUCAACGUAGGUGAUAAGAUUUAAGUAUUUUGAUACAAUAUGAAGAAUACUCAUCUUUAUGAUAAGUUGGACUAUCAAAGGCUUGGACCUUUUUUUAUCAAUAAAAAAAUCAAUCAUAUUAUUUAUAAAUUAUAUCUACUAAAGUCUAUAAAAAUCCACCCUGUAUUUUCACUUAUCUCUUUUUUAGCCAUAUAAGACAGUAAAGAUUUCAAAAAGAAGACAAAUGCCACCUCCUCUUAUAGAUGUGGAUAAUAAUAAAAAAUUUGAGGUGGAAGAAGUCUAAGAUUUAAGGUGGUGCCAAAAUAGGUUGGAAUAUCUUAUUCAUUGGCAUGGAUAUGAUAUCAAUGAAUACAUAGGAAAGCUAAUAAAGAAUCUUACAAAUGCAGCAAAGAGAGUUGAAGCUUUUUAUUGAUAACAUCCCUCAAAACAAGGAUGAAGAUUAACAAAUCUUUGCUAUAAAAGAAACAAGAUCAAAGAAAGAUAAUACUAUACCUUCUAUCUUUCUUUGUAGCUUCUAUAUAUUUGUGAUGCUAAAGAGAUGGAGAUCCAAUAGCCAAUAGAUUCAACUCAAGAGCUUUUAUUUGCAGACUUGUUAAAUAAGACAUUGCAAUUGUUACAACCUUCUAGACAAAAAAAAUUGAGAUGAAGAUCUUCAAGAACGACAUAUCUUUUGACAAAUAGAUGAUAAGAUACAAUGUAUUUGUUAUCACGACCUUAGAAGAGACUCCUAAUGUUUGAUGAACUUAUUAGAGAUAGGAACAACUCCUAAAAGUGUUUCAAAUAUUUUAUUUGAACAAAGUUAUAAAGACCUCAAUAACAACCAAAUAAGAGGGUGGUCUUCUUGUCUUAGUGUGAAAGACUUUUGAUGGCUAAGAGGACCUAUCAACUAUCUUCAAAGAGAACAAAGAUCAAAGUAUGUGACAAAUAUAAUUUACUGCUUGUUAGAUUUUUUCAACAUUUGAAACCUAAUGUCAUAUUAUAAAUACUUAUAAUAUGUAAAAAUUAGUUAAAACAUAUUUUAUGUUCAUAAUUCUUGAUAUGUAUUAGAAUGGUUAAUAAAUUAAUUUAAAGAAAGUGGAUAUAUAAAACUUUAUUUUGAAUAUUAUCUAUUUUUAUUAUAAUAUUUAAAUUAUAUAAUAUUUAAAUGUUUAAUAUAGAGCUUUAAGAGAAGAUUGAACCUAAGGAUGAAAAUUUAAACUACUAGAAGGCUCAUAGAGAGGAAUGAAAUCAAGGCAUAGUCAAAUGAAGGCAAAAGGUAAAGAUCUUUAUUCCUAUUAGUAGAAGGCCAUGUCCAAUGGACAUUCAGCAAGCUGUACAUAUCCAUAACAAAGGUUUUGGCAACCUCAAAAGAAAAAUUUGAGAAUCAAAACCAAGAUUUGUAAGAUUAAGGGUUUGAA